Molecule: long non-coding RNA, 61186 nt
Filed under: Citrus maxima (pomelo)
Lineage: Eukaryota; Viridiplantae; Streptophyta; Magnoliopsida; Sapindales; Rutaceae
Description: long non-coding RNA (CMAX_LNC001248)
Source: RNAcentral
AUUCAGAGUAUUAAUUUUUUUAUAUGAAUUAAUUAUUUGCUGACAAAUAAUUAAAAGGUCAUAGAACAAUAUUUUCAGCUCAAAUUUUUAUUCUAAUAUGACACAACUUGGUACUUUCAUUCCUAUGCUAAAAUAUAUCUAACCUACUAAUAGUCAAGAAAUAUAUCUAUUCAACACAUAUUUGUUAGAAAGAUUAUCUACUAAUUAAUCAUUGAGACGAGAUUACGAAUCUCAACAUAAAUUAGGAUAAAAAUUAAUAUAUUGAAAUUCAGAAUAUUUCAAGCUUGUAAAACUACUUUCAAGCGAAUCUGAUAAAAUUAUUUCAAUACUCGUGGGUGACUCCUUUUUAAACCGCAGAAGGAAAUGAUUUUCUCCUUGUUUGUACAAAUAUAAUUUCUUUUUUCAAUUUUGCCUUGUUUUGCUUCUACUUGAUUAUCAAUUGCACAGCCGUUGACCCUGUUCUAUUUCUAUUUCGUUCACUUCCCUAAAAAAAAAAAAAAGAUGGACAUUUUGAAAAGCAUUGUUCCAGGAGUUGUAAACUGCUUGUCCCCUCACGCACAACGCGAAUUUAGUUACUGGUAUAACUCCGGUGCCAACUUUGAGAAUCUCAAGGCAGAACUCCAUAGGCUCAAGGUUGAAAGAGAAAGCAUUCAGCGCAGAGUUUCUGAGGCUGAAAGAAAAGGUGAAAAGAUUGAAGAGAAUGUUGAGAAAUGGCUGGUUAAUGCGAACGAGAGCAUUGAGCAGGCAGCCAAAUUCAUUCAAGACGAAGAGAAAGCAAAUGAUGGCCGAUGUCUCAUGGGGCUGUUUCCUGAUUGGUUUGCUCGCUAUCAUCAUGGAAAGAAAGCAGAAACAGAGAAGGAGGCCCUUUUUAAACUCCGAGAAGAAGCUGGGAGAUUUGAUGAUAGAAUUUCCUACCGUACCGUUCCGGAGGAUAUAUGGCUCAAGUCUCACAAAGGCUACGAGGCCUUCGAAUCAAGACUUUCUACUUUGAAAGCCAUACAAAAUGCAUUGAUCGUUGUUGAUGUCAGCAUCAUUGGGGUCUACGGCAUGGGCGGCAUUGGAAAGACGACACUGGUGCAGGAGGUCGCCAGGCAAGCUAUGGCAGACAAGCUCUUUGAUACGGUGGUCUUUUCAGAGGUUUCGCAAACUCCAGACAUAAAAAAGAUUCAACAGGAAAUUGCCGAGAAGUUGGGCCUGGAGUUGCACGAGGAAGUUGAAUCUAGAAGAGCAAGUAGGCUAUGUGAGCGAUUGAAAAAUGAGAAAAAGAUCCUUGUGAUUCUGGAUAACAUCUGGAAACCUCUUGAUUUGGGGACUAUUGGAAUUCCUUUUGGAGUUGAGCACAGAGGAUGCAAAUUAUUAUUCACAACAAGAGAUCUUGAUGUGCUGUUAAGGACAGAAUCUGAAAAAAACUUCUCGAUUGGCAUUUUAAAUGAACAAGAAGCCUGGAGAUUGUUCAAGAUAAUGGCUGGUGAUUAUGUUGAAAACCGUGAGUUAAAACCUAUAGCAACAAGGGUAGCCAAGGCAUGUGGAGGUUUGCCUAUUGCCCUUAACCACAGUAGCAAAGGCACUGAGAAACAAAGAGCUGCCUGUGUGGAAGAAUGCGUUGCAAGAACUCCAAACGCCUUCAGAGGCAAGCUUCGACGGAGGAGUACCAGCAGAGGCAUACUCAACAAUUGAGCUGAGUUACAAGUACUUAAGAGGUGAGCAACUCAAGAAAACGUUUUUACUGUGUAGUCUUAUUACGCCAGCACCAAUUAUGGAUUUGUUCAAAUACAGCAUGGGCUUGGGUGUAUUUAAAAGUGUCCAUAAACUAAGAGACUCUUGUUUGUUGCUUGAGGAUGGUGGCAGUAAAUACAUUUCUAUGCACGAUGUUGUUCGCGAUGUUGCCAUUUCAAUUGCAUGUCGUGACAAAAUUGGAUUUGUGGUGAGAAAUGAGGAUGUGUGGAACUGGCCAGAUGCAGAUGCACUAAAAAAAUAUCUUGCAAUUUCUUUUAAAGAUAGUAUUGUUAAUGACAUUCCUGAAGGGUCCGAAUCUCUACAACUUCAACUUCUAGUCAUGUCUCCCAAGAACUCUUUUUCUGUGCCUAAUAUUCCUAAGAACUUCUUCAAAAGGACGAAAAAGCUUCGGGUUUUGGAUUUGACUAGAAUGCGGUUAUUGUCAUUGCCAUCUUCAAUUGGUCUUCUAGUAAAUCUUCAGACACUCUGUCUUAAUCAAAGCAUUUUGGGAGGCAUAGACAUAGCCAUUAUUGGAAAGUUGGAAAAUCUAGAAAUCCUCAGCUUUUUGCAAUCUGAUAUUGUAGAGUUGCCUAAAGCACUGGGUCAACUGACUAACCUAAGGCUGUUAGAUUUCACAGACUGUUUCCGUCUGAAAGUUAUUGCCCCAAAUGUCAUAUCAAGCUUAACCCGAUUAGAAGAAUUGUAUAUGGGUAAUUGCUCCAUUGAAUGGGAGGUUGAAAGAGCCAACAGCAAAAGAAGUAAUGCUAGCCUUGAUGAAUUGAUGCAUUUACCUCGGCUAACCACUCUAGAAAUUGACGUUAAAAAUGACAGUAUGUUACCAGAACGUUUUUUGGCCAGAAAGCUUGAAAGGUUCAAAAUACAUAUUGGAAAUGAGUCAUUCACGCAUCCCAUGAGAGUCAGACAAGCUUGGUUUAAAAGUCGGCGACACUUUUAUAUCGACAGUGAUUGCAAGAGUUUAAGAGCAUUGAAGCUCAAGCUUGCUUUUACGGACAUUUGCUCCAUGAAAUUGCAGGGCGUCAAUAGCGUUGAAUACUUAUUGUUGGACAAGCUGCGAGGUAUCAAGAACGUUCUUUUCAAUUUGGACACGGAGGGCUUUUCACAAUUGAAGGUUCUCUGGGUUCAAAAUAAUCCUGACUUCUUUUGCAUCGUCGAUUCAAGGGCGAUGGUCGCUUGUGAUGCCUUUCCUCUUUUGGAGUCACUUGGCCUUCACAAUUUGAUCAACAUGGAGAGGAUAUGUAUUGAUCGGCUCAAAGUAGAGUCCUUCAACGAACUCAAAAAUAUAGAAGUAUAUAAUUGUGAUAAGUUGAGUAAUAUCUUUUGGCUCUCUACUAAAAAAUGCCUUCCAAGACUUGAGAGAAUUGCAGUUGUUAAUUGCAGCAAGAUGAAAGAGAUUUUUGCAAUUGGGGAAGAAGUUGAUAAUGCAAUUGAGAAGAUAGAGUUUGCUCAAUUAAGAUCUUUGAGUCUGGGGAAUCUUCCAGAGGUUACAAGUUUUUGCCGGGAAGUAAAGACUCCUUCAGCAUCACCAAACAGACCAGCGUCGCAAGAGGAAUCGACGACUAUGUAUAGCUCCAGCGAAAUCACUUUGGAUAUUUCAACUCUGCUUUUCAACGAGAAGGUGCGUAGUGUUGCGGACCGCCCAAUUCGCUAGCCCAAUUGCCCACAAUUUCGGGCUAGAGAGCCAACACAAGGCCAAGAGUGCUAGCUUGGCCCAAUUCCGGAAGGUUCUAGGCAACUCUAGCACAUGUGAACAUGUAAAUAUUCUAGAAUACUUUAUACAAUUCCAGCACAUGUAAAUAGCUAGGAAAUUGUAUAAUACUCUAGAGUUUGACCAAGUUUGGCAAAGUUAGGCAAAGUUAGGCAAAGUUAGGCAAAGCCUCCCCUAUAACUAUGGGAUGGCAUUAGGCAUUUGUAUCCAACAAGCAUUGUAAUCUCUCUUUGUGCAAUACAAGUUUCUUUGGCUCAAUUGCUCUCUUCUCUUGUUCGAGAAUCUCUAGGCUUACUUAGCAACAUUCGGCAAAGUUGUCUAAGUGCCGCACGGGUUAGCUGCGCAAAACACUCAUCCCGUGACAAGUGGUAUCAGAGCUAAGGUUUGCACGCACGCAAAUUAGCUCACGAAGCAAUGGCCAACCCUUCGAACGUAGCACAAGAGGGUGUUGUUGGUGUGGAUGUUCCACCGGAACCAAGCCGUGGCCGAGAGGGAGAACGCGCCCAAGGCAAGACUCGCGGCAAGUCCAAGGCCCUAUCCGUGGAUGCGUUGGAGCCUCGUGUAGGCACUCUCGAAAUAGCAUUGUCCGCCGCUCAAGAUAGCCUCGUGGGAUUGGAGGAAAGAGUGGAUGGUCUCGAGGGAGAAUACGCCAAGUUCACGGUGGCCACAAAAGCUCUCAUCCAUGAGCAAGCGAACAUUCUCCGAGGUGAGUUUCGUUCUUUCCAUGAUGAGUUGCUCAAACUUCGUAGUUUUGUUCAGGACGAACUACGUGCUGUCCGUGCGGAAGUGGAUGAAGUCCGCUCGGAUUGGGCAUGGCACAAGCGCACACUCUCCACAAGUCCAGCUUCCGCAAACUCGAGUGAUGCGCGCCGCAUUGACGUGCCAAAGCCCGACACCUACGAUGGCACACGCAAUGCCACCAUCGUGGACAAUUUCCUCUUUGGGCUGGAUCAAUACUUCGAUGCCAUGGGUGUCCGAGAUGAGGCAUCGAAAGUGGGCACUGCACCCACCUAUCUUAGAGGCGCUGCACAACUAUGGUGGCGUCGCAAGCAUGGCGAGAUGGGCAAGGGCAUUUGCGCCAUCAACACUUGGGCCGACUUCAAGCAAGAACUCCGAAAGCAGUUCGCCCCAAGCAAUGCGGAGAAGGAAGCGCGAGUGCGCUUACGUCGCCUCAAGCAAUCGGGUAGCAUUCGGGACUACAUCAACGAGUUCACUACCCUCAUGUUGGAGAUAAGCGACAUGUCCAACAAGGAUUCACUCUUCUACUUCCAAGAUGGCCUCAAGGAUUGGGCCAAGACCGAGCUUGAUAGGCGUGGUAUUCAAACACUUGACGACGCCAUUGCCGUUGCGGAGUCGCUCACCGAAUACUCUACCCAAUCCAAGGACAAAAAGGCCAACCAAGGCAAAGGUGGGGGAGAGAGUCGCAAGGACAAGGGCAACAACCGCAAAGAUUGGGGGCAGAAAAAGCCGCCUAGCAACAAGAGUUGGCAAGGAAAAUUGGAGGGCAAGAAGGAGGCGCCAAAGCCGCGAAGCCCAUGCUUCAUAUGCAAUGGUCCUCAUUGGGUACGCGACUGUCCGGAGAAGAGGUUGCUUAAUGCUCUUGCUGCCCAACUCAAGAGCAACCCCACAAUGUCCACGGAGGAACCCCAACUCAGCAUGGGUUCUCUCCAACGCCUCGGCGCCCUCAAUCGCCAACAGCCCGCACUCGUCAAGAAAGGGCUCAUGUAUGUAAGCGCAAAGGUAAACGGUCAGUCCGUUCGCGCGCUGCUAGACACGGGAGCAACACACAAUUUCGUGUCCGUAGACGAGGCCAAGCGCUUAGGCCUCAAGGCCACCAAGGAAGGAGGCACAAUGAAGGCUGUGAACUCACCCGCCAAGCCAAUUGCGGGAAUCGCACAAGGCGUGCACAUCACACUUGGUACGUGGAGCGGAAAGCUUGACUUCUCCAUCGUGCCCAUGGACGACUUCAAGAUGGUCCUCGGCAUGGAAUUCUUCGACCAAGUCCAUGCCUUCCCACUGCCCGCUACAAACUCCCUAAGCAUCCUCGACGGGAGUAAAGCAUGCAUGGUACCCACGGAGCGAGGCAAGUCCGAGGAGAAGACACUCUCCGCCAUGCAAUUCAAAAGGGCUUUCAAGAAGGACCCAAGCUUCUUGGUCUCCAUUCGGGAACUAAAUGAGGAAGGAAAUAGCGGAACGUCGCCAAGCCAAGUCCCUCCACAAAUUCAAGCCGUCCUCGAAGAUUACAAGGAUGUGAUGCCUCCAGAACUUCCAAAGAAGCUCCCACCUCCGCGAGAGGUAGAUCAUGCGAUUGAGCUAGAACAAGGCGCGAAGCCACCAGCCUUGGCACCCUACCGCAUGGCGCCACCCGAAUUAGAGGAGUUGCGGAGACAACUCAAAGACUUGCUGGAUGCCGGCUACAUUCGCCCCUCAAAGGCCCCAUUCGGUGCACCGGUCCUCUUCCAAAAGAAAAAUGAUGGAUCGCUGCGGAUGUGCAUCAACUAUAGAGCGCUCAACAAGAUCACCAUCAAGAACAAGUAUCCGAUUCCAUUGAUUGCGGACUUGUUCGACCAGCUUGGCAAAGCGCGGUACUUCACCAAACUUGACUUGCGCUCCGGGUACUACCAAGUGCGCAUCGCCAAGGGAGACGAACCGAAGACAGCGUGCACAACAAGGUACGGGUCUUUCGAAUUCCUUGUGAUGCCUUUUGGCCUUACUAAUGCACCCGCCACAUUUUGCACACUCAUGAACAAGGUACUCCAACCAUUCCUCGACCGCUUCGUGGUCGUGUACUUGGACGACAUUGUGGUGUAUAGCACCACACUCGAGGAUCAUGCCCAACACUUGCAACAAGUCCUCCAAGUACUUCGAGACAAUGAGCUCUUCCUCAAACUAGAGAAGUGCUCGUUUGCCCAACAAGAGGUGGAGUUCCUUGGCCACAAGAUUGCGGGCGGGAAGAUCAUGAUGGAAAAUGACAAAGUAAAGGCCAUCCUCGAUUGGGAGCCUCCCUCGAAAGUACCCGAGCUUCGCUCAUUCCUUGGGCUGGUGAAUUACUACCGCCGCUUCAUUAAGGGCUAUUCAGCCAAGGCGGCACCCUUGACGGAUAUGCUCAAGAAAAACAGAACGUGGCAUUGGUCCGAAGAGUGCUAACGUGCAUUCGAGGAGUUGAAGGCAAUUUCGGAGGAACCAGUCCUCGCUCUUCCGGACCACACCAAGCCCUUCGAAGUUCAAACGGAUGCCUCGGAUUUCGCCAUAGGUGGAGUCCUUAUGCAAGAAGGCCACCCAAUAGCGUUCGAGAGUCGAAAGCUAAAUGACACGGAACGCCGCUACACGGUGCAAGAAAAGGAGAUGACAGCCAUCAUCCAUUGUCUAAGAGUGUGGCGACAUUACUUGCUUGGCUCACACUUCACGAUCAUGACGGACAACGUGGCGACAAGCUACUUUCAAACUCAAAAGAAGUUGAGUCCGAAGCAAGCACGGUGGCAAGAUUUCCUUGCGGAAUUCGACUAUCGGCUAGAGUACAAACCGGGGAAAGCCAAUGUUGUUGCGGACGCUCUAAGCCGCAAGGCGGAAUUGGCAACACUUAGCAUGAGCCAACCGAAGUCCGACCUUGUCUCACGCAUCAAGGAAGGCCUCCAACAAGAUCCGCUAGCAAAGGAUUUGCUGGAGAAGGUGCUCGAGGGAAAGACAAGGCGGUUUUGGCAAGAGGAAGGCAUCCUCCUCACCAAGGGAGAUCGGCUGUUCGUGCCAAGGUGGGGAAACUUGCGGAAGGAAGUAAUCAAGGAGUGCCACGACUCUAAGUGGGCUGGUCACCCAGGAAUCGAGCGCACCACCGCACUAGUUCAAGCCUCGUAUUUUUGGCCGCACAUGAGGGACGACAUUGAGGCAUAUGUGCGAACUUGUCUUGUGUGCCAACAAGACAAAGUGGAUCAUCAACUUCCAGCGGGAUUGUUGGAGCCGCUACCACUAGCAACAAGGCCAUGGGAAAGUGUCUCCAUGGACUUCAUCACAUCGCUGCCCAAGUCCGAAGGUUGCGGAAGUAUCAUGGUCAUUGUCGACCGAUACAGCAAGUACGCCACAUUCAUUGCUGCACCAGUCGAUUGCAAAGCGGACGAGGCAGCCCGCCUAUUUGUCAAGCACAUUGUGAAGCUUUGGGGAGUACCGAAGAGCAUUGUGAGCGACCGAGACCCUCGGUUCACUGGACGCUUUUGGACGGAACUCUUCAAAAUGUUGGGGACCGAUCUCAAGUUCUCGACAAGCUUCCACCCACAAACGGAUGGGCAGACCGAGCGCAUUAAUGGCCUCCUCGAGAUGUACCUGAGGCAUUAUGUGAGCGCUCACCAGCGGGAUUGGGCGAAGCUACUCGACAUCGCCCAAUUUUCUUAUAACUUGCAGCGAAGUGAGGCUACGGGCAAGAGUCCGUUCGAGAUCAUCAUGGGAUUCCAGCCCAUGACCCCCAAUGCCAUAGCCUCGACUUACGGAGGGAAAAGCCCCGCGGUACACAAGCUCGCCCGCGAACGGCAUGAGGAAGCGGACAUCACACGAGCCUACCUCGACAAAGCCGCGAGGAAGAUGAAGAAAUGGACGGAUACAAGGAGACGACAUGUUGAGUACAAGGAAGGUGAUCAAGUCAUGAUCAAGCUCCUACCCCAACAAUUCAAGACUUUGCGGAAAGUUCACAAGGGGUUAGUGAGGCGCUACGAGGGACCCUUCCGAGUUGUUCGACGUGUGGGCAACGUCUCGUAUCAACUCCAACUUCCGCCAAGACUCAAGAUCCAUCCGGUCUUCCAUGUGAGCCUUCUCAAGCCAUAUCACGAAGACAUGGGAGAACCAAGUCGCGGAGAAUCGAGGCGCGCGCCAACUGCCGUUGUCACCGCGUUCGACAAAGAUGUGGACUACAUCAUUGCGGACCGAACGGUUUCGAGGAGGGGCGUGCCAGCACAUAGCGAGUACUUGGUGAAGUGGAAAAACCUCCCCGAGAGCGAAGCCACUUAUCGCUGAGCACAUCCAGCACUUCAAGCACGAGACCGCGACGAGGACGCCACGAGCUUAGGUGGGGGAGGAUGUUGCGGACCGCCCAAUUCGCUAGCCCAAUUGCCCACAAUUUCGGGCUAGAGAGCCAACACAAGGCCAAGAGUGCUAGCUUGGCCCAAUUCCGGAAGGUUCUAGGCAACUCUAGCACAUGUGAACAUGUAAAUAUUCUAGAAUACUUUAUACAAUUCCAGCACAUGUAAAUAGCUAGGAAAUUGUAUAAUACUCUAGAGUUUGACCAAGUUUGGCAAAGUUAGGCAAAGCCUCCCCUAUAAAUAUGGGAUGGCAUUAGGCAUUUGUAUCCAACAAGCAUUGUAAUCUCUCUUUGUGCAAUACAAGUUUCUUUGGCUCAAUUGCUCUCUUCUCUUGUUCGAGAAUCUCUAGGCUUACUUAGCAACAUUCGGCAAAGUUGUCUAAGUGCCGCACGGGUUAGCUGCGCAAAACACUCAUCCCGUGACAGUAGGCUAACAUUUUCUUUAUUCUAUCAUGCGUUCUGUUUUGAUGUCAUACGUGGAAAAUAAUUAAAUCAUUUAAAGAAUUGAAAGAAAAUGAAAAAAAAAGGAUAAAAAGAAUCUCACGCGCUCACUAAUUGAGCUCUUAACAAGUAGUAUGAAUUAGAAUGCGUACUCAGCUGUCAGUUGGAAAUUGAUUCAGACUUGUAUUAAUUUGUAAUCAAAGAAGAAAAUUUCAACAAGUGCUUCCCAUAUGGAUAUUGGAUCUAACGAGAAAUUCUUAUUUUUUUAGGUUGCGUUGCCUAACUUGGAGGCUUUGGAGAUAUCUGCAAUUAAUGUCGACAAGAUUUGGCACUACAAUCAUCUUCCGGCGGCCGUGUUUCCUCACUUUCAAAGUUUAACACGAUUGAUUGUGUGGCGUUGUCACAAAUUAAAAUACAUAUUUUCAGCGUCUAUGAUCAGAAGCCUUAAGCAGCUCCAACACCUACGUAUACACUACUGUAAGAAUUUACAGGAGAUCAUUUCUGAAAACAGAACAGAUGAAGUGAUCCCUCAUUUUGUCUUUCCACAGCUCACCACUCUGAGACUCGAAGGUCUACCAAAACUUAGAUGUUUGUACCCUGGAAAGCAUACUUCGGAAUGGCCCGCACUAGAAAUUCUUGUAGUGUAUCGUUGUGACAAAUUAAAGAUAUUCGCUGCAGAUUUAUCGCAGAAUAAUGAGAAUGAUCAACUUGGCAUUCCUGCACAACGGCCCCCAUUGCCAUUGGAAAAGGUAUGAAGCCAAGUUCUAGAUUUUUUAUCAAUAGCUUAUUUUUAACUUCGAAAAAUAUGACAAAGCAUCGAUAAAUUAAUACUCAAUAAAUUGAAAACUUUUAUUAUACAAUAAUCUUUGCUAGUCUAGAUUAAGAGAUCAAUGUGGUAGAUUAAUAAUUAUAUGAACUUUUUUUGGUAUAGCAUUUGUAAAAGAAUCUUGAGUCUUUCCAUAUAGAAGAACUUACAAAAUAAAUUAGUAAUUUAUUAUUGUGCAAUAAAAUAAUUUCGAGUCAGUAUAAAUCAACCUUUUUUCCCUAAUUUCUUUUUUACCUCUAAAAUUAACAUAUAAAAAAUCAUUUAAUAAAUUUUAUCAAUAAUUCAAUUUUUUUUUUAAAAAUAUAAUAUAAAACAAAUACUAUAAAGUCACUGCGUGUCAUUGGAUUACUCAAAAUCAUUUGAGAGAUCAUCAAUUGACCUUAUCAGUUAUUAUGAUUGACGAUGAUCAGAUCUUACCCAACUUGAUGGAACUAUCACUAAGUGGAAAAGACGUGGAGAUGAUUUUGCAGGCCGAUUUCCCACAACACCUUUUUGGCAGUCUUAGAGAACUAGAGAUUGCUGCAGAUGACUCAGCUUGUUUUCCAAUCUGGAACGUACUGGAGAGAUUUCACAAUCUCGAAAUACUCACACUGUGUGAUUUUUCAUCCCACGAAGAGCUAUUUUCGAUGGAAGGAUGCUUAGAGAAACAUGUGGGGAAGUUGGCAAUGAUAAAAGAAUUAGAGCUGUACCGGCACUAUCAUCUGAAGCAGCUGUGCAAACAAGACUCCAAACUUGGCCCCAUUUUUCAGUAUCUUGAAAUUCUAAGAGUAUAUCAUUGUCAAAGUCUGUUAAUUCUAUUGCCAUCAUCAUCGGUAUCUUUUGGGAACCUAACAAAACUUGUAGCUUUCGGUUGCAAGGGAUUGAUACACUUGGUAACAUCCUGCACAGCAAAAACUCUAGUGCAACUCGUCACGGUGCGUAUACAAGGAUGCAGAGCAAUGACAGAGGUGGUAAUAAAUGACAAAGAAGGAGUUGAAAAAGAAGAGAUUGUUUUCAGCAAAUUGAAGGCGUUGAUUCUGUGUGAUUUAGAAAGUCUCACAAGUUUCUGCUCUGCCAAUUACACCUUCAGAUUCCCAUCUUUGGAAUAUCUGGAAGUGAUUGGUUGUCCCAAGAUGAAGAUUUUCACUACAGGAGAAUCAAUCACGCCUCCGAGAGUAGACGUCCAGUAUGGAGAGACAUCGAAUCAACGGCGUUGGGCUAAUAAUGAUCUAAACACAACCAUACAACAAUUACAUGCUGAGAAGGUACGGAUAUACAUAUUACUCUCUAUCUCCCAUGAUAAAUUUUUACAAAAUUUGCUUUUUCUUUUUAAAUAAAAUAUAGAUAAAAUGUUUGUUAUAAAGUAAAAGUUUAAAUUGAUGAAUAAGAAUUUUAUUUUCAGCUGUUGGCGGGGUCGUCGAUAUACUCUACGCAGUACGACUAAUUUCAUAGGCUUCUUAUGACUUGGAGUUGCGAAUUUUAUUUAAUUUAUUUAAUCCCAUGGCUUGUUUCGCAAUUUCAUCUUAAUUAUUUAGAAUAGGUCCCUCGGUUUACUGUUAAACUAGGAAAUAGAACCGCGCUUCGCGCGGCUUUAAAAAUAUCAAAUUAAAAAUAAAAAAUUUGAUGAAAUUCAAAUUUCUUAAGAUAACCUUCUGAUCUCUUCUCAAAAGGAAGAUUAAACAAGUUAAUUUUGUAUGUUUAUUUCAAUAAUAAUAACGAUCGCACAUAAUAAUAAUAAUAAUAAAAAUAAUAAUAAUAAUAAUAAUUGGCACCUGACGACGUUGAGGCUCAUGAGCAUUCCACAAAAUAUAAGUUUCAAUUGCAUCGAGCCCUCCAUCCUUUGCCUUCUGUAUAAGAUCUGGCCACAUCUGCACAAAUAUAACGCAUAUAGAAAUAAAUCAUAUCAAAUUUUACAUAUUUUAAGAAUAAUAAUGCUGUUGGAUCCAAAAAUAUUGCCCAUAAUUUUUCCUAAACAUGAAAGCGCACCGUUUUGAAUGUGGGAUCAUGUUUGGCUUGUUAGGAAAAAAAAUUAAGAUAAUAUUUUUGCAACAAAGUAGCUUUUUUUUUUUUGGUUAAAAGAAGAAGAAAAUGUGAAAGUGCAAGUGAUUUGAGAAAUUGUAAAUUAAUUAUUUGCAUACAGUACUUGUGGACUACUGCGAAAAUAUAAUGAAUUGCACCAGAGAAGAUAACUCGUCGUUCUCCAUUAAUUAUAAUGGUAGUUGCAUCAUAAUCGACUUGUGUUGCUGAUGAUGACAAGCAACUUAAAUUUAGAAUAAGAAGAAUUAUGCCUUAGUGGCAUUGUUGAGGGAAGAUGAAAGAACCUCUCUUCCUAUGUUAAUUAAUUAAUGUAUUUUAAGCCGCUAAAGUUUAAUUGCUAGUAUAAUAAAAUUUGAAGAAGCCAAAAGACACUAAAUAAAAGGUUGCAUAAUUAAAUAUGAGAUUAUGGCAUUAAAAUUAGGCCCUUAUGACAUUGUUGAAGGAAGAUGAAAGAGCCUCUCUUCAUAUGUUAAUUAAUUGAUGUAUUUUAAGCUACUAAAGUUUAAUUGCUAGCAUAAUAAAAUAAAUGAAUGUUUCAAAAGAUUUAUUAUUAAUUAUUAUUCAUGAUUAUAUAUUGUUGGAUUUCAAUAGAAAGAGGAAGAGACAUGAAAAUUAAACUUAGGCCCUAGCUGCAUUAUUGAGGGAAGAUGAAAGAACCCCUCUUCCUAUGUUAAUUAAUUGAUGUAUUUUAAGCAACUAAAGUUUAAUUGCUAGCAUAAUAAAAUAAAUGAAUAUUUCAAAAGACUUAUAAUUAAUUGUUAUUAAUGGUUACAUAUUGUUGGAUUUAAAUAGAAAGAGGAAGAAAUAAUGAUGCCACAAAUCUUAAAUAUUUAAUGUUUAUAGAGUUUGAAGAAGCCAAAAGGCACUAAACAAAAUAUUGAAUAAUUAAAUAUGGGAUCAUGACAUUAAAAUUGGGCUCUAAUGGCAUUGUUGACAUUAAAAUUGGACUUAUAAUUAAUUAUUAUUAAUGAUUACAUAUUGUUGAAUUUAAAUAGAAAGAGAAAAAAAGUACAAAGAAUAUUCACCAAUAUUUUAGAUAUUUUAGAUAAUAGAAAAUAUAAAAAGAUGAGGAAUGAUAUAUAUUAAUAAAGUUACUAUUUAUUAAAUGAGUUAAAUACAAUCAAAUUAAUUAUGAGAAGAUGAAAAGCUAAAUCUAAAAAAAAUUCUCUAUUUAUUAGAUAAUAGAGAAUAUACAAAGAAGCAAAAUGGUGAUGCCACAUCACCUCCUCAAGUCCUAGCUUUAUAUAGAUAUAUAGAUAUAUAGAUAGAUAGAUAUAGAUUUGCAAUGCAAUUUUAAUGAUCCCUUCAGACUUUUAUGGACAGAUUUUGCAUAAUUGAAUGUCUUUUUAGUCUAGUUUAAUUUGAGUCUUUUUCUUCUUCUUUUUUUUUUUUUUUUGGGAGCUCCCCUCGUCUUCUAAAAUUUUAUAACUCCUUGCAUACGUUUUUAUGAUAAAAUUUCAUUAAAAGCCUUCGUAUUUUAUAAUUCGUUGAAAACAUGCAUACUUUUUCCAUUCUUUCUUUGCCAAUUAUUUAUUCUCAUCAUUGCUGUUCUUUUAUUUUAGUUUGUGUUCUGUUUGUUCAUUGGGUUUGCUUUUCUUCACGCCUAUAUUUCCUUGGAAAGUUAGAAGGCAAGGAAAGUACUUAGAAAAUGUUCUUGUUCUUCCCUAUGAACACAUAAUUAAAGAACAGCUGAAUAUCAUUCAUCGGACUAAAAAAAUUUAAAAAAAAAAACGUAAUCAGUGCAUUGUUCCUAUAACAAAUGCUUAAACCAUCAAAUGUUAGCUAUGAACAAGUAUAUUGUGGAAAUAUUGUUUGAAAAUAUUUCAUAAAAAAUCAAGUUUUCACAAACCAAAAAGGGACUAAUUUGGUCUAGCAUAUUCAUAAUAUUUUCUCCACUGUUCCUGUUAAAAUUUCUCUACUCUAUGAUUGCAGAAUGUUUGGAUACUGAUGACGAUUUAAGUCACUCUUCUUCUGUGCGCAAUUUGAAAUAAGGUCGUUUUUCUUUUUUCCUCUAUUCAAAGUUUACAUUCUGAGGGGUUCCCGUUUCCAUCUUCGUGAUCUUCUUGUGAUUCACUGCAUCGUGUCGCUACAUCUGUGAUAGUGUGAGUUGCAACCUGUCUGUUUUCUUUGUUUGAUCAUUGUAUGUAUUAAAAAAGUUUACAUUUCAUUCUAGAUAAGCUCUUUGUAUGUAUUAAAAAAAUUUUAUUCUCAAUAUAUAUGACUCAAUGAGAGGUCUUUUAUUAUAUAUAUGUCAUGAAUUUCUAUUGUAUUUUGAGAUUUGAUGGUGUAUUAUUGUCUCAUUGCAAGGUCUUGUAAUCACUCUGAUUCUCAUUUGAGGAGGUUGGUCUCGUCUAUGUGUAUGUAUUUAUAUCCACAAGAAAUUUGAUAAAUGGUCUUGUCGUUUUCUCAUUAAAACAUCUAGUGCUUCAUGGGUUGGAGGGCUACUAGGCAUCAGGGCCAGAUCUUUAAACUCAAAGUUCUUCGUGUCAUUUACCCAUUUGAUUAUCAAAUAGUCAUAAAAGCAUAUAAAUUCAAGUUAGUGUAUCAUUUUUACACAAUAUACUAAAACUAACACAAGAACUUGGCCGACAUUUUCAGUUGAAUAACUCAGACCCCCGAACUUCCUCGGGCUGACAUCCCAAAGUGAAAAUGUCUAAAAAAAUAGUUGCAACAUUUACCCAUUUGAUUAUGAUUCAAAAAAAAACACAAACGGAGAAAUUAUUGGGAUUGUUAAGAUAGUUAAAAUGGUUAGUUAUUGUUUCAGUUUGUUAAGCAAGAUAGGUAGAGUUACUGACGUGUUAGCUGAGCUGGCAUAAGUUAUUCAACUCUCAGGUGCUUAGAAACCUUGUAUAAAUACAUUUGUAAUCAGCUAAAGAAUGGAUGAUUCAGAUUUAUUCAUCAAAUCCAGCUCUUAGAUGAUCUCUGUUCUUUCUUUCAUUUUCUCUCAUUUUCUUACUUAUCAAACAGAUUAGAAACUUUAACUUGGUAUCAGAGCCUGAAAGGUUUGGUAGUUGUUCUGUUUUAUCUUCAGUUUCAUUUUGUGAUCACAGAAACGUUAGGACUUGCUUGCAUGAACGCACAUUAAACCACGGAAAUUUUGUCAGACAUGCACGCAAAUGAAAUUUUAUCAGCAGUCUUGUAAUUUUCUAUUUUUGUUGUUGUCGUCAUUUUUUUACUACUAGUACUGUUUGAAAUUCUAGUAUUUUGGAUGUGAAAUUUAUUAUAUUAUGAUAGGUCCCAGUCAGAAUUAGCGGAAACAACAAGUAAAUAAUUUGUUCUUCUUAGGGUAAGAACUACCGCAAUUGCUAAUUGAAUUAGAUAAAAGUCUGAUAUCUUUUUAUUGAAUUAUUCGAGUCUAUUUAUAGAACAAAAUUAAUGAAAUAAAGUAGUUAAAAUCAAUUAAACCACUUAGCUAUAAUUUCGAAGUAAAUAAUAAUCUUAAAGGAAUCAUGAUUAAAUCUGAAUUCUUCAUCAAUACGGCUUGACUUAGUAAGCUUUCCGUUGAUUUUGUGAAGAGUCCUUGAAGGAACGUGAUGCCCACCUCAUGCAUGGCUUGCAUGUUACUUGCAUGUGCCCAUACAUUUUCGUUAUUGGCUUGCAUGGUUGCUUGCAUGUGCCCAUGCAUAUUCGUCAUAUUUGUUGUUGGGUUUUGCUUCUCACUUGGACUUGCGUAUACUCUUAUCAUAUUAGAUAUUCGACAUAUAUAUGAUGCUGAAUACAGGGUAUGUGUUGUCUAAAUUUAUUUUAUUUUGUUUGCUUCACAUCCAAUUUUCAAAAGCUUUGAAGAAUGCUAAGAGAAGGAGCAAAGGGCUAAAGAGUCAAAUGUAACAUUGCUAUUAAUUUGUUAAUUGCCAUCAUUUUUAAUUUUUGCCCUGCUUGUUCUGUUUACUCAUUUAUUUCACUUGGUUUUGCUCCACGUCUAUCUUUCCUAACUUAGGAAGGCAAGGAUUUUGAAAGUUCUGAAGAAGAUUCAGGUCACUCGUGUGAAUAAGAGCUGUGUUACUGUUUAAAAGUUUUCAUGCUCUGGAAUAAAAUUUGCUUUACUGUGUUACUGGUCAACUUCAUUAUUCUACUAAUGCUUUACUUCAUCUUCAUUGUAUCACUACAUUGACAGCGUUGACAGUGUAAGAGUCGUUUUCACGAUUUUUAAGAAAUUUUGAUCACAUUAAACUUUUGAUCUGAGUUCAUAACAAAAAUCAAAACGGCGCAUGACAUCAAGAUUAUGAUGAAUCAAAUUGAACUCCCAAUACGUUAGUUCAUAAAAAAUGCUUUUCUUCUUCCAAGUAAUCUUAUCAUUUCUUUCAUUUUAUUCAUUCUCCUCUUUUCUCCUCUUUUCAAGUCUUCAAUCUUAUACUCAGUAAGUACAUUACUGAACUGCUUUUUCACCUCAGCUCCAGACAACCGAGAAGGUGCUUGUCCGGUUGUCCCCACUCUCUAGUUUUAUCAGAUGGCACUAUAUUUUCGGAACCUAUGAUUUGUUGGUAAAAAUCGACGGUGACCCACGUGACAAUUUUCUACUAUGUAUCAACCAAUUAGAUCUAGUGUUUUGUUGGCAAACAAGAAAUGCUUAUUUACCUUUAAUACUCCACCCAAACAAGUUGGCAUAUGCUAGAAAGUCGGAGAUAGUCCAUAACAAUGCUGCGUGUGACUUGAACAUUUGAUUAUGUGAUGCAUUAUGCAUCAUUCCAACCAUACUAGCAUCACUACCCGAGUCAUGACUAACCUGUUUCUUAGUUAGAUUUCAAAGAUGAAGAUGGCUCACCCUCCAAUAUCCAGUUUUAAUACUUUAACCAAUAGCCAUUUAUAAUGAUAUGGUCUCUUGCCACUUUCCUUAUAAGGAAAUAUCGAUAUUACGACACUUCUUAGAAGGACAAUAAAUUCUUUUAUCACCAACAACAUUCUCAAAUGCAAAAUCUAUAAAUUUUUUGACCCAUCAGUAUAUGAAUUGGAUAUCUAUUUGGCAAACCAACCCAACUCUGGUCCAUGACUAUGUCCUUUUAAUGCACUAGAAAAAUUAGUUAAAUAAAUCACUUUAAUUCUUCAUUUCUACUACUAAACAAGAUAUUUUCAUGUGUGCGCAGUUUCGCAAUAUAAUAAAAAAAAUUAUUAUACAAUUUUAUGGUUAAUCUCAUUAGAACGUUUAUAUAUAUGGAAGCAAGCAAAGCCACAAGAAUCAGAGAAAAAGAUGUGAAAAUUAAAGUAUAUAUACAACAAUAAUUAAUCUAAAAAACAGUUUGCAAUACCUUCUGUAAAGAAAUAUCCUCACCCACUGCUGAGAACUUCACUUGGCUAUCAAUUACAGAUAUAUAAAGCCUGUUACCUAGAAACAAAAAAUUAGGUCAGCCAGCUAAAACAUAUUUAUAAACCAACAUUGGAGAUAGUACUCCAUUUAUAAACAAAAUUACAAGACUCAAAACCAAGUCGACUCAGCAAAAUCAUAACCGAUUACAUUCAUCCCACUCAGCUCCUCCACUCCCAUCAAUAUAUCCAACAUUCCCUUCAUAUUUACAAAAGGUAAGUGGUCCUAUAUAUCCCACUCAAGAAUGCAUAAGUUUCUUCAAUCUUAAGUAUCUAAAGUUUUCCUCUACGUUUAUAGAAACUUCGGAAGCAUCUCCCUAUAGUUCUUCAAGUACACGACAUAGAUAUAUGAAUGUUUAUGUGUUAUGCCAAAACAACACAUGACACCCAUUUGUCUAGUAUGCACCCAGAGAACAUGAGGAGCAGCUGCUGAAAAACCCAUUUUUACGUGGGAAAAAAAUUUCAGGCACUAGCUGCCAUAGAAAUCUAUGCAUUACCAAACUGUCCAAGCCUAGAUAUUUCAAGAAUUAUUAAUAGACAUAAGAUCCUCACUAUCAUCCAAAAGAUGACACUAAUAAAACAUGUGUCUAUUAAUAAUUUCUUAAAGGAGUUUAAGCUUUCAAUGCAUGUAUCAAAAGUUUAAAAUUGAAUCUGAAACUUGAAUAACACAUAAAAAUCAUAAAUCUCUUCAAUUUAUUCCUAAUAAAAUGUAGCAUUUUUUCACAUUUCAUUUCUUAAGCAAAACCAUAAAAAAUUACAAACAAUAAAUACAUUUUCUAGCACUGAUGCACAUUAUGUUUACUGAGCAAUAAGUUUUAAGUCAUUCAUAUUAAAAUACUUCUUCCUAUUCUAUCAACAAAUAACUAGUACGUACACACAAUUAAUAAAUUAAAUGUAACCUGGUUGUGAAUCUUGCAAAGUCUUCCUAUUUUUUUUUUUUUUUUUUGGUGGGGGGGGGGGGGGAGGGGGGAGGGGGUGGUUAUGCUCAUUUGUGUGUUGUUAACAGAAAUUGAUCCAAAGCCUCAGUUUUAAUUAGCUUCAUUAUAGCCAAUGAUUAGGUGUUUAAAAACCAAUGAAUAUUUUUUAUAAGAAAUCAACAAUAUUGUUGAAAGAAAAACCAAAUAAAAAUAAUAAAGCAAUGCAUAGAUUAAGGCUCUUUAUUAUCUAAUAACUAAUCAAACUAAGUUGUGGGUAAAGGAGAAUAUGUUUGUUUGGCCAAUAAUAAACUCAAGGAAUCACCAAUAAUCACCUAGUUACUAUUCCUUAUGCCAUGCAAUGUAAUGGCGUCGGUAAUGGCGACAAGGCAGGCAAUAACUAGCUAGCUAGUUAUGAUAGUUGCUUAACUUAACCUACUGGAAAUCUGAAGACCAAAAUGAAGAAACUUUGCCUAGAACUAGAAUAGGAAAACAUUCAUACCCAAAACCAAUAUACAUGAUUAAGAAACUUGAUUAUAUGUAUAUUUUUGUUUGCCACACCAAAUCCCACUAUUUCCAUACUCAUAAGCACAAAAAACCAUCGCAAAAAUGAAUGACCAUAUAAAAUAAAAUAGGUCGCAGGACAUUGAGAAUAGGACAAUAUGAUUUAUGUACUGUAAAAUAACUAUAUCUGCAGUCAACUAUAUUUCUGUUAGAACUCUAAAGUUUUCCAUUAAAUUUUUUUCCCUGUUAGGUAAACCACUUAACUGAAACACUUAAGCAAGAUUGACAAUCAUAGACAUAAAAGUAUUAAUAGGCUCAUUCAAGUGAAAUGAGCAUUAUUUCACAUAUCCUUUAGGCUUUUAAGUCAUUUAGAAGUCAUUCAUGUUAAACAAUUUCUUCAUAUACUUUCAAUAUAAUUAGUACAUACACAAUUAAUUAAUUAAAUAAAUCUGUUUCAGCUAGCACAGGAACUUAAGCAAUCAGAGCUAUUAGUUAUAGCUAGGACUUGAAUGAGGCACCUUUCAAAGUUCAAGAGGAGCAUCUGAACAGAAUGAAAGCAGUUUGUAGAAAUGGUAGUGAUGCUUUACAUCUACAUGCUCUUACACAAUAUGAACUUUCAUUUAUUCAAGAACAUAACACUAAUCCAAGCUCUUACUCUACAAGUCAAUUCAGUUUGUAGAUGCAAGCCAUUGUAAAAACUUUUGUGUUAUAAUUUCCGUAAAUGGAACAUGACAUUACUAAUAUAGAAUCAGCAAUGUUAUAUAACUUAUCAGACAAUAUAACAAGCACUUGGCGAGCAUAUAAGAUAAACUAAAACAAGUUAAUUAGAAAAUGAAACUAAAACCCAAGCUCCGCUAUUCAUUGUAGAAGCUUUAAACAUAAAAUUAAACUAAAUCUAAUGCCAAAACAUUAGAAUGGAUGUUGGAAUUAAAGCUAAAUUCAAUAGUAAUCCAAAUGAAUCCAUUUGAACUUUGUAAACUCCGCAGAACAAAAUUAAUUUGAGUGAGCAAACUCACCAAUGGCACAAGAACAGAAGGGCUUCAACUUCUAGGAACAAAAAACAUUGCCGGUGGGACAAAAAUUGACAUUAAUGGCUACAAUACGAAUUAAAGAGAUCAAAACCUAUAAUUACAAGCUAAGAAAGAGAGGAAACUCAUAAUCACAAGCUUACCUGAAACGAAGAGAGAGAAUAAGAUGAAGAAGAAGAUCGCUGCCGUUUUACGCCAUUCUCCGGCUACCAGUAAGGUUUAGGAUGCUGGCCAGGCACGAGAGAGAAUUUGGGACUUUGGUCUUCAAAAUAUUGACUCCAGCAAAUAGUUUUCUAUUUAGAAACAAAUUUAUAACUCUACCGUCACUCUCUACCGUCACGUGGUUAGUAACAUAAGUGAGAGCAGUCUAGCCGUCACAUAAACGGUCACAAAAGCAACUGGCUGUUACAAGUUUAGGAAUGGCAGAUAUUGCCGCGGGGACAUGACCCUCGAGAUUUUCCCAAUUCAGGUGGGUACAUAAUUUUUUACUUAAUUUUUUAUUUGAAAAGGAGACGGAGAUAGUUUUUUUACCUAAUUUCUUAUUCAGAGAAAGAAUGGGGGAUCGGCAGAAUCCCUAUUCUCUUCUAAUUUUUUGAUUUAAUUUUAUUUUUUAAAAUUAUUUGUAAAUAAAUAAUAAAAUAUAAAUAAUAAAAUAUUAAAUAUUAGUAUAAAUAAAAAAAUAAAAUAAUUAUAUUAUUAAAAUUUAGGCCUAAUUGACUACAUUAAUAUUUGGAUGAGAAAGUUAUGCUUAGGAUGAAAGAUUUUAAUAUUUUGAGUUGGUGUAAAAUAAAUGUCUAUAGAUAUCCUAUACUGGCAUGAAUUGCUAGAGAUAUUUUGGCAAUUCUAAUUACAAAUGUUGCUUCUGAAUUAGCUUUUAGCACCAGUGGUAGAGUACCGUAACACGCUUUAUUCAAGCACAUUGGAGGCUUUAAUAUGUUGUCAAAGUUGACUACAAGCUUACAAUGACAGUAUGAGUUUAUUUUACAUUGUAAUUAUAUUAUAUAAUUAUUAAUAUUUUCACUUAGAAUUUACAUUACUUAUAUUAUUUUUGUUGUUUUAAAUUUGAAAUCUGAGGCUAUCUCUCAAUUUGUCACAUUCCUCGAGGAAGAACAAGAAGAGUAGGAGACACAAGAGGUAAAUACUUUUAUUAGAAAUAUUGAUUAAGUAUCUAUAUUCAUUUCAUUUAUCUCAUUGUUGAUAUAAAAGUAAUUUCUUUUUUUUUAUUAUAUGAUUUUGAAGAUUGCCGAAGAUAAUUAUUAUGGUGAUUUAUACUUUGUAAUGUGACUUUUGUAAUAGAUUAAUGUUAAUGUAAGAUAUAUCGUCAAACUUUAUUUUUAUUUUUAUUUUUUAUUUUAAUAUGAUUAAAUUAAAAUUUAAAACUAAAAACGUAUCAGUUAUUCGAGAAUCGAGGACCUUUAAGGAUCCCCUAUUAUUAUUUGGGGAGGGGAGGGGGAUUCCCUAAAGCAAUUUUGUGAAUGGGAAGAGGCCAGGGAUAUAUACAGAAUAUCGAGAAUGGGUACGGGGAGGUCGGUCUCUUCCCCUCCCCUUCCCAUUGCCAUUCCUAACAAAGUUGGCAAUACAUGUACGGGCCGCUUUUGUAAAAUUGCUUUAAGGGUCGUUUGGGAUUGCUUUUGGGAAUAGCAUGCAAGAUAUAUAUAAAAAAUAAAAUCGUAGAAUAACUUUUACCUCUAAUUCGAUUUUUUCUUCUUUUUUGUAAAUUAUUAUGCAUUUAUAUUAAAGUCACUGUGUAUGAUUGGAUUAUUAAAAGUUAUUUGAGAGAAUAUGAAUUGACUUAAUAAGUUAUUACGUGAUUGAUGAUGAUCAGAGCUUACCCAACUGGCAUUAAGUGGAAAAGACUCGAGGAUGACUUUGCAGAGCGAUUUCCCACAACACCUUUUUGGCAGUCUUAAACUACUACAAACAGUGGAUGAUGACUCAACUUGUUUUCCACUUGAUUUACUUGAGAGAUUUCAUAAUCUGGAAACUCUCAUACGGCGUCGUUGUUCAUGCGAAGAGGUAUUUUCGAAUGGAGGAUACUUGAAGAAACAUGUGAGGAAGUUUACAAUGAUAAAACAUUUAGAUCUGCACAAAUUUAAUCAUCUGAAGCAAUUGUGGAAACAAGACUCCAAAUUGGACUCGUUUGUUCAAUGCCUUGAAAUUCUAAAUGUACAUUAUUGUCAAAAUCUGUUAAUUCUUUUGUCUUUGCUGCUAAUUCUUUAAUUCUUUUCGGUUCUUAAGUUUCUCUGUGAUUUGUUCUGGAUUGAUUCUUUUUGCAUCUUGGUUGUUUGAUUUGCGAUCUUGGCGAGUAUUUGGAGUUGAUCAUUAUCGAAUCUGUCACUCCAAACUCUACAGCGACUCUUAUCAAUGUUGGUAUAUGGAUGCAGAGCAAUGAGAGAGGUGGUGAUAAAUGACGAAGAUGGAGCAGCAAAUUUUGAAGAAGAGAUUGUUUUCACCAAAUUGAAGAUUUUGUAUCUGUAUGAUUUGGAUAGUCUCACAAGUUUCUGCUCUGCCAAUUACACCUUCAAAUUCCCAUCUUUGGAAGAUUUAUCUAUAAUUGGUUGUCCCAAGAUGAAGAUUUUCACUAAAGGAGAAUUAAACGCGCCUCUCAGAGUAAACUUCUACUAUGGAGAGAGAGACGAUCAACAGCCUUGGGCUAAUAAUGAUCUUAACACAAUCAUACAGCAUUUACAUGCUGAGAAGGUACGAAUAACUCACUAUCACCAGUGGAAAAAUUUUAUAAAAUUUCUCUUUUAAAUAAAAUGCACCAAAUAGAUCAGAUAUUUGUUAUAAAGUAAGUUUAUGAUCACGUACUGGCAGAUGGGAUACAUAUGUGCUUCAUUCUUGAAACUCUACCCUAUUUAAAAUUGAUAUUUUCACAAGAGUUAGAGAAUCCUAUUCAUUCAAUUAUCCAAAAUCAGAGAAUCUUAUUCAUUCAAUUACAAAAUUUCGUUAAUCGUUAGUUUUUAACUUCAUUACUGUAUGGAAGUCCUGUCAAAUUAAAUUGCUGUUGUUAAAUUUAUUAAAUCUCUUGCUUCCCUGCAAAUCUCUGCGUGCUUUACUUUUAAUUGAAACUAAUGAAUGAAAAUUUUACUUUCAGCUGUUGGAGGGGUCCUCAUCUUAUUCAAUGAUGUAUAUGUCCUAAUGGCAUUGGCCUUUUACUUUAAUUACAAGCGAGUUGUGAAUUUGAAAAACAAAGUCCCAGGUAAUUCAAUUUCAUUUCAUUUUAUUUUAUUUCUUGGCUUGUUUUAUCGCUUCAUCUAAAUUGUUUGGAAUACACCACUAGUUUAUUUUUACUUUUAGAAUGAGUUUUAAUGUUUUGUUCUGAGAUUUAUAUGCUGAUUUUAUAUCAUUAAAGGUCUUAGUGACUUAGUUUGGUCUUCACUUAUUUAUUUAUUUAUUUUUUUGACGUCGUGGCUUUAUAAUGUGUUUUUUUUUUUAAUUUUGAAUUUUAUAAUUCCUUGAAAAUGUCAUUGAAAGGGCCAGCACUUUUAUGUGGAAACCAUCUCAUCCUCCUUAUUUCAAACUAUUAAACAACCAAAUGUAUCCUAACAUAUAUGUUUAGAAUCAAUCUACUCAUUAAGAUAUAUGGUAAUGGUGUCAUCUGUUUGCUAUAGUUUGAUUACAAGAGAACUUUUCCAUUUGUUAGUUGCCAUCUUUGUUGAUCUGUUAAUUCAGUCUUCUUCUGUUUGUCCUGUUUAUCUGUUUAUUUCAACCUUUCUUUCAAAACUUAGAAGGUAUGGAAAGAGCAAGUACUUAGAAAUUGCGAGAAUUAUAUCAAAUCAUGCAUAUAUGCCCCUGCCUAUGAACUCUUAGGAACAAUCGAAUAUCUUUCCUUGAAUAGCAUAAAACAAAAUCUACAGAUCAUUAAACCAUCAAAAGUUAGCUAUGAACAACUAUAUAAAAAUCAUUUGUUUCUCACCUUUUCGUGAGUCUGAGAAGUUGUAAAUUCUACUGAGUUUCUCACCUUUUUUUUUUUUUGGACAAUUGGAGUUUUUAGUUUAUGAAACUUAAUGCCUAUAUUUCUCACAUUGUAAAAGUGUUUUGAAAAGAUGGUUUAUAUUGCACCAUAAAAAUGUGGUCUGAUAAACCAACAGGGGAGUAGUUUGAUCCAGUUACGUGAAAUGCAUGCAAAAUAAUAUUUUCUCUAUAGUUACUGAAGAGAAUUUUGGUCACUUUGGUGUGCAUUAUCUGGAAUAAAGUCGUUUUCCAGUUUCUUCAAAGUUUAUGUGCGGAGGACUUCCGGUUUCCAUCUCAAGUUCAAAUACUAAUAAAGAUGAGUAAAUUCAUCAUCCGUGUGUCUGCUCUUUCUAUGCAUUUUGACAUUUUUUAUUAAUGCGUCUUUAACAGUAGUUUUUUUUCACAGAAAAAAUUGUCAGUAUUUUGUGUCAAAUAAAAAAUUAAAAAAUAUAUAUGUAUUUUGGGCGAAACUUUUUGCGAAAAAUAAUGAGUGCCAACACUUUAUAACUUAAUAUGUAUUUUGGGCUUGGCGAAGUUACGGUUCAUGUAACUAAUCAAUUUAAUCAUUACCGGAUAAAAUUGAAUACACCAGUAGUGUUUUUCCACGGAGAUAUUGCCAAAUUUUGUGUCAAAUAAAGAAUAAAAACCAUAAAUACCAGUAGUGUCCGAUUUUGAAAGCAAAGCAGCAUACAUAUUAACUACUAGGCUUUGAUGGUGGUUGCAGUAAAAAGGAUUAAAAGAGAGAGAGAGAGAGAACUUGAAAACUAUGGAAUGGAAGAUAAAUCAAAGUUAUAAAUUUGGACUCAAUAGUUUUGAUGUUCAAUCAAAUAUGGAGGGGCGAUUAGAAAUUAUCAAAAAUUUAGAGGGAUUUCAACCGUUCAAUUCAUUAUUAGGCGUUGUAGACUGCAGGGAUGCAGAAAUUUCCACAGGGACGAUGGCCCCGAGGGAUCUUCCUCAUUCGGGAGUUUGAUAAUUUUAGAUCUAAUUUUUCUAUGUGGAGACAAGACUGUGAUCAAUUAAUAUGUGUGGGUGUAAGUUACAUGAAAUAUAACUUAGUGUUUGCCCUAAUAUUUUAUUUGGCUCCACAUUUUUCUAUUUCUAUCUUUAGUUCUAUUUUUAAUUAAUUUAUUUCAAAUUUAUAGUAAAUACAUUUAAAAUUUCAAUUAUAAUAGUGUGAUGUAAAUAAAAAAUAUCACAAUACAUUUAUAAAAAUAAUAUAAAUAACAGCCAAUAUAAAGUAAAUAUAAACAUUUUAAAAUUGACAAAGAUAAUUUAAUUGAUGGUUUAUACUAUAUGACAUUUAUGGAUGAGUUCAACUUUGAAGAUUUACUUUUGCUUAAUUAGUUCAAAGAUUAUCUUCUAAUUUGAUGACAUUGACUUAAUUUGAUGGAAAUGAUUUUAAUCACUUUAGUUAAUUUGAUAUUUUUUGUGUUAAUAUGAUUUUAUAUUUUUACUUUAAGAUGAUUAAAUUAAGAAAAAAAAGAAAUUAAAUAAUCAGAGAUCGGAUAGCAUCGGAGAUCCCUUUGUAUUAUUUAGAAACAUCCAUCCCCUUCUUUCAAGUGAUUUUGAAGGAAAUGUCUAGAGUACAAAGAGAUAGACAGAGUAUUAAAGAUGAGUAUGGGGAAAUCAAUCCCCUCUCCUUCCCUUCUUAUUGACAUCUUUACAUGUGAGCCCAAGGGGAAAUGCACCAUGCCUGAUAAAAGUAAAAUUAAAAAUAAAAAUUUUCUUUUAUCAAAUCACUCUAUGUGGUGGAGAUUAUUGUAUAAUCAAGUACACAUGGCAUUUUUAAAAGCUUUUUCUUUAUUUAAAGCUCUAAAGGUUUGCCUAAGAGUCAAGGUUGGUGCCGUUCUUCUAGAAGAACAACCCGUAUCUUUUGAUAUUCAAAGUUUGAAUAUCAAGUUCAAACUUUAAAUUUUGAAAUAAUAAUAAUAAUAAAUAUAAAAAGUGCCAAAUUUUUAGCUAUAAAUAGAGGGGUUCACCCCCUCAUUUCACUCAUUCCAUUCUUUUCUUCUUUAGUUCUAUAAUGAGAGAGUAAGAGUUUUAUACUCUUGAGUGACUAGUGUUUAGAGAGAUUGGGUGUAUUAAGGUUUUGAUAAGUGAAACAAAAUACUAAAAUACUUAUAAUUCUCAUUUCACUAGUAAAGUUUUAUCCUUUUGUCCUUGCCUAUGGGCAUAAGUUAAAAGCCGAACCAAAUAAUUUAUGGUGUCCUCUGUGUGCUUGUUCUUCAUUUUCUUCCAAUUUCAUUUUAGUCGUGGCCCUACUUCACCAAUCAAUUUUCUAAUAGUGGUAUUAGAGCCGGGUUGUAUUUUUUGGGGUCGAGAUACUAUUUACAUAUAUUGUAUUGUUCAUGUAUAUGAUAUUGUUUCUGUAUACGACACUUUAUUCAUAUAUACAGUUACUGCUCAUGUGAAAUGGUAGGAAUCGAUCUUAGCAAAGGUAGCUCGUGGUGAAAAGUGAUGGCGGAAAAAUACAAAAUUGAGAAGUUCAACAGAAAUAAUUUUUCGUCAUGAAAAAUGAAGAUGAAGGUUGUAUUGAGGAAAAGUAAUUGCUUGGCAGCAAUUGAAGAGAGGCUCACAAAGAUAACUAAUGAUGGCAAGUGGAAUGAGAUAGACAAUAAUGCCAUUGCAUAUCUACACUUACCACUUUCAGAUAGGGUAUUUUUCAAUAUGGUAGAGUAAAAGAGAGUAAAGGAAAUAUGGUUUACUCUCACAAGACUAUACGAGGUCAAAUCACUACAAAAUAAAAUCUUCUUAAAGAUGAGGCUUUAUACUCUUCAAAUGGAGGAAUCUACAUCAGUGAUCGACCAUAUCAACACUUUAAAGACUUUAUUUUCAUAACUUACAACGUUGGGUCAUAAAAUAGAGGAAAAUAAACAUAUAGAGCUUUUACUUCAAGGUUUACCAGAUUCGUAUGAUCAAUUCGUCAUUAAUAUAACUAAUAACAAUCGAGCAAACAAGUUAGUCUUUGACAAUAUGGCAGCCUCCGUAUUAAAUGAGGAGAGUAGCAAAAAAUAAAAAAGAUAGACAGAAGAGUUCGCAACAAGUAGAAGCGCUAUUGGUGAUGAAAGGAAGAUCCAUGGAACGUGGCCCUAGUGAGAGCCACAGUCACGGUAGAUCAAAAUCUAGAAGUAAAAAGAAUGUCAAAUGCAACAACUGUUGCAAGAAAGGGCAUGUCAAGGAAGAGUUUUGGAACAACUAGAAGAGAAGAGAUGGUAAAGAUUCUGAGUCAUCAAAUGCUCAAGGGUAUGUAGUAAGUACCUCGUAUGAUGGCAAAAUUCUCUACAGUAAGGCAACAACUGCUUCAGAAGAUAGAAAACCACUAUAUGACAUCUGGCUUAUAGACUUAAUAGUUGCCUGGCACAUGAUCUCUCCAAGAGAAUGAUUUCACAAAUAUGAACCUAUUUCAAGAGAAUUUGUAUACAUAGGUGAUGAUUAUGCCUUUGAGAUUACUGAUAUUGGUACUGUCAAAAUAAAUAUGUUUAAUGGUAUGGUUCGCACAAUUGAGAAGGUAAGACAUGUCAAAGACUUGAAAAAUAUCUCUUGUCUUUAGGACAAAUAGAUAGUCUUACGCGCAAAACUCAUGUAGAAAAUGGGAUCAUAAAGAUAGUCAAAGGCGCACUUGCAUUAAUGAAGGUGGAAAAGAUCGGUGAUAAUUUAUUCAUGCUUAAAGGGAAACACUACAGAAAGCUUUUGUGUCAGUCACAUCAAAUAGAGAAAAUUCAGUGAUGAUGUGGCAUCUUAAACUUGGCCACAUGUCAAAACAAGGAAGCAACAUAGAUGAAAGUUUAGCAGAUCCACUUUCAAAAGUAAAUGUAUUUUAGACUUGAUUCAUUCUAAUGUUUGGGAAUCAAUUGAUAUAUCUAUGGGAGGUGCAAAGUACUUGGUGACUUUUAUUAAUGAUUAUUCUAGGAGAUAUUUGGUGUAUCCAAUCAAGAAAAGGUCAAAUGUAUUUCCAUUGUUCAAAGAAUUCAAAGCGUAGAUUGAACUUAAAUCAGGGCAAGGGAUCAAGUGCCUGAGGACAGACAAUGGUGGAGAGUAUACAAAUAGCAUGUUUCUUGCAUAUGUAAGCAAGAAAGUAUCUAGAGAUAGUUCACGGUGGCAUACACUCCUCAAUAAAAUAGAGUAGUAGAGUGAAAGGGCAUGACUCUUAUAAAAAAAAAAAGAGUUAUGUUGAGAAAUGCUGGUCUACCAACUCAUUCUAGGUGGAAGUAGCAAAAACUACUUAUUAUGUGGUAAGUGGGUCAUCAUUCAAUGCAACCGGGUUGAAAAUUCCAAUGGAAAAAAUAGACAGGAAAGCCAGUUGAUUACUCUCAUCUCAGGCAUUUUGAUGUCCUUUUACGUGAUAUACAAUACCCAAGUGAGAUUAAAGAUGGAUCCAAAAUCCAAGAGAUGUAUCUUCUUAGGAUAUAUUGAUGGAGUGAAAGGGUAUUAUCUGUGGGACCUCAAUGCCCAUAAGAUCGUUAUCAGUAGAGAUAUUAUCUUUGUAGAAGAUCAAAUGCAAAAGAGAGAUAUGGAUGAUAGCACUAUAAAAAUUCAGAGAUUGUGCUAAUAUAUGUUGAAAAUAAUCUGGAAAAUGAAGAUUUAGAUUUUUUUGAAGCAGCACCAAAGUAUGAGAACAAGAACCAAUCGAGUCUGAGGCCCCAAAAGUUUGUUGGUCAACUCGUGAUAGAUAAUUGUCAGUGUGGCAUUUGGAUUAUGUCACAGAUAUCAAUUUUGCAUACUGUCUUUUAAUAGAGAAUGGAAAGCCAUCAACUUUUCAUGAAACCUUAAACAGCUCAGAUGUUACUUUGUGAAUGAUAGCAAUGCAGGAAGAAAUUAAGGCUCUACACAAGAAUAUGACAUAGGAACUCGUACUACUACUAUAUGAAAAAAAAAAGACCCAUUGGUUGGAAAUGGGUCCAUAAGAUCAAACGUGAUGGUAAUAACCUAGUGGAGCGGUAUCAUGAAAGAUUGGUGAUGGAAGAAUAUCCUUAGAAAGAAUGUAUUAACUUCAAUGAGAUAUUUUCUCCAGUGAUUUGACUCAGGACAGUCAGAGUGGUCUUGUCGAUGUGUGCUACAUUUGACCUAUAUUUGGAGCAGUUAGAUGUGAAAAUUUCAUUUCUUUAUGGAGAACUUGAAGAAAAGAUUUCUAUGCUCUAACUAGAAGGUUUUACUAAAAAGGGACACUUGGUUUGCAAGUUAAACAAAUCUCUAUACGAUCUCAAACAUGCACCGAGAUGUUGAUAUAAGAGAUUUGAUCCAUUCAUCAUAAACCUUGGAUACAAUAGAAUCAGUUCAGACUGUUGUACAUAUUACAACAAGUUUGAUAAUAAUAAUUUCAUCAUUCUACUGUGGUAUGUUGAUGACAUAUUAGUAGCAGGCCCCAACAAAGAUCGAGUCCAAGAACUAAAGCACAGUUAACUAGGGAGUUUGAAAUAAAAGACUUAGAACCAGCAAACAAGAUUUUAGGGAUGCAAAUUCACCGAGAUAGUAAUAGCAAAAAGAUUUGGCUUUCUACCCCGCCUCCCAUUAAUUUCAAGUUAUUCUUAAGUAUUCAUCUAGUAAUGAAGUAGAGAAGAAGAGAUGUCUUGAGUACUGUAUGCAUCAGCAGUGGAAAAUUUAAGGUUCGCUAUGAUUUGUACAAGUAGUGGGAGAGGUUAGUCGAUACAUAGCGAAUCCUUGCAAAGAACAUUGGAAGACUAUUAAGAGGAUUCUGAGAUAUAUCAUAGGAACAUCAGAUGUUGCAUUAUGUUACGAAGGAUACUGUCAAGGGCCAUGUGCAUUCAGAUUUUGCAGAAAAUCUUAAUAAAAAAAAAUCCACUACUGGCUAAGUAUUUGCACCAGAAUGAGAAAUUGUUAGUUGGAUUUCAAAAUUGCAGACCAUUGUGGCUUUAUCAACAACAGAAGCAGAUUACAUAGCAGCUACACAAGCUUGGAUGAGCUAUUUAGAUACAAAGGUUACUGAAGGAGCUUGGGCAUAAAAUUUUUUAUGGCUUGUGAUAGUUAGAAUGCAAGGAAUCCAACCUUUUAUUUUAGGACAAAGAAUAUAGGAGUACAAUAUCACUUCUUCGUGAAGUAGUGAAAGAUAUAAGAGUGGAUACCAAGGAGAACUUAACAAAUGUUUUGCCCAAGCCUAUCAAUGCUGAUAAAUUUGUUUGGAGUAGAUCAUUUUACGGCCUAGUAGAGACAUAAACAACAUGACAGCGGCGAAGUAGAAAGGAUGGUGUGGAGAUUGAUUGAUUCUCAAUCAAAUUUCUAAGUGGGAGAAUAUCAAAGUCAAUGUCGCUUUUCUAGAAGAGCGACCAAUACCUUUUGAUAUUCAAAGUUUGAAUGUCAAGUUCAAACUUUGAAUUUAAUAUAUAUAUAUAUAUAUAUAUAUAUAUAUAUAUAUAUAUAUAUAUAUAUAUAUAUAUAAAUAGUGCCCAAAAUUUUAACUAUAAAUGAGGGGUUCACCCCUGCAUUUCAUUCUUUUCUUCUUCAAUUCUAGUGUGAGAGACUAAGAGUUUUAAUGCUCUUGAGUGAUUAGUGUUUUAAGAGAUUGAGUGGAUUGGGGUUCUGGGAAGUGAAACAAAAUAUUAUAAUACUAGUAAUCCUCAUUUCACCACUAAAGUUUUAUCUUUUGUCUUUACCCAUAGACGUAGGUUAAAAGUCGAACCACGUAAUUUUUAGUGUCCUCUGUGUGCUUGCUCUUCAUUUUCUUCCAAUUUUAUUUUAGCUAUGGACCUACUUCACCAGUAAAUUGAAGACGUUGGAACUGCGUGAUUUAGAUAGCCUCACAAGUUUCUGCUCUACCAAUUACACCUUCAAAUUCCCAUCUUUGCAAGAGUUAUGUGUGAUUGGUUGUCCCAAGAUGAAGAUUUUCACUACAGGAGAAUCAAUCACGCCGAGUAAACGUCUGCUAUGGAGAGACAGCGGAUCAACGGCGCUGGGCUAAUAAUGAUCUAAACACAACCAUACAACAAUUACAUGCUGAGAAGGUACGUAUAUACAUAUUACUCUCUAUCUCCCAUGAUAAAUUUUUACAAAAUUUGCUUUCUUAAAUACAAUAUAGAUAAGAUAUUUGAUGAAUAAGAAUUUUAUUUUAAGCUGUUGGCGGUGUCGUCGUCAUACUCUACGCAGUAGUACGACUAAUGUCAUAGGCUUCUUAUGACCUGGAGUUGCGAAUUUUUAGAAGAAAGUCUCAACUGGUAAUUAAUUUUUAUUUCAUUUAUUUAAUCCCAUGGCUUGUUUCGCAAUUUCAUCUGAAUUAUUUAGAAUGGGUCCCUCGGUUUACUGUUAAAUUUGCAAUGCAAUUUUAAUGAUCCUUUCAGACUUUUAUGGACAGAUUUUGCAAAAUUGAAUGUCUUUUAGUCUAGUUUAAUUUGAGUUUUUCUUUUUUUUUUUAGAGCUCCCCAUGUUUUCUAAAAUUUUAUAAUUCCUUGCAUACUUUUUAGGAUAAAAUUUCAUUAAAAGCCUUCAUAUUUUAUAAUUCCUUGAAAACUUGCAUACUUUUUCCUUUUUUUUUCUUGCCAAUUAUUUAUUGUCAUCAUUGCUGUUCUUUUAUUUUAGUUUGUGCUCUGUUUGUUCAUUGGGUUUGCUUUUCGGAAAGUUAGAAGGCAAGGAAAGUACUUAGAAAAUGUUCUUCCCUAUGAACACAUAAUUAACAGCUGAAUAUCAUUCAUUGGAUUAAAAAAAAUUAAAAUAAAAAAAAGUAAUAAGCCCAUUAUUCCUAGAACAAAUCCUUAAACCAUCAAACGUUAGCUAUGAACAAGUAUAUUGGUCUAUAGCAUAUUCAUAAUAUUUUCUCUGCUGUUCCUGUUAAAAUUUCUCUACUCAAUGAUCGCAGAAUAUCUGGAUACUGAUGAAGAUUUAAGUCACUCUUCUUCUAUGAAUAAGGUCGUUUUUCUUUUUUCUUCUAUUCAAAGUUUCCAUUCUGAGCAGUUCCCAUUUCCAUCUUCGUGAUCUUCUUGUGAUAGUGUGAGUUACAACCUGUCUGUUUCCUUUGUUUGAUCAUUGCAAGUUCAAAGACAUUUUAUUCUAGCUAAGCUCUUUGUAUGUAUUAUAACAUUUUUAUUCUCAAUAUAUAUAUGACUCAAUGAGAGGUCUUUUAUUAUAUUUAUGUCGUGAAUUUCUAUUGUAUUGUGACAUUUGAUGGUGUAUCAUUGUCUCAUUGCAAGGUCUUGUAAUCACUCUGAUUCUCAUUUGAGGAGGUUGGUCUCGUCUAUGUGUAUGUAUUUAUAUCCACAAGAAAUUUGAUAAAUGGUCUUGUCAUUUUCUCAUCAAAACAUCUAGUGCUUCAUAUGUUGGAGGGCUACCAGGCAUCAGGGCCAGUUUUUUAAACUCAAAGUUCUUCCUGUCAUUUUUUAACAAUAAUAAGGAAAGCCCAAGAGAAAAUCUAGAAGUCCUAAUAAGGACCGCUUCUGCAUAUAUUGUUCAUUUUCUUAAUUACCUUCAUUAUUAUUUUCGUUUUCAAUCGAUCAAACUUCAGUUUCUUAGCAUUAAUCUAAUUAUGUACUUCAUCUUGAAAUCCUUAAAUUACCCAUCAAAAUGUGAACGAUUAGUGUAUCAUUUUUGCACUAUAAGAAAUAGUUGUAUUACCGACCAGACAUUUCCACAAUAUACUAUUGAAAAUAAGUACUUUUUACAAAGGUAUUGUCAUUGAUGAGCCGUUGGAUAAAUAUGAAAAGUAUCAUACCUCGGUGAUAAAGAAAAUUCGUUUGUCGGAAAUGGAAUGUCGAGCCCAAAAUUACUCUAAACUUGGUAAAGUUAGAUUUUGGCCCAAUUUGUUUGAAAGUUUUAUACAUAAAGCACUUUUUUUUUUAUGUAAUUUGUGCAAUCUGAAGGGAGGUAUUGUAAAAUUAACAUAAAUAAAUGUAAUAUGCCAAUACCGUUUAAAACAAAAAAGAUAUCAUGAAAUUGAAAAAAAAUAAAUAAUAAUAAUAAUAACAACAUUAAAAGAAAAAGGAAAUUACGGAGAAGAAUAAUCGCUUCUUGAUCUCAACUCUCAAUUUGAAUACAAUCUCUGAAUCUCACUUCUCGAUCUGUCUCCAUUCUUCAUUCGCAUUUACUCGGUGGUAAUUAAUUCUUCACUCUCACUCGCCUUAUUUCCUGCAGAUUUCUUCAUUUUCCUUCACUGUUCGUUUUUAAGGUUCCAUUGUAUUUCCAUUGAGUUUGCAACUGUUCAAUUGCUCGAUCCACAUUAGUUUUAAGGUACGAUUGUUGGUUAUUUUCCUAAUCAAUAGACAACCCUAGAUACGAUCAUAGGAUUUAAUCAAUUGACAGUCUGAAAAAUCAGAGAGACCCAAAUCCUAAUCAACAAACGCAUACGAUGAUUCAUUUAAAUUAGAUUGUUUAUUCUCAUAACACAAUGCACUGCUAUGCUAUUUGUCACAAACAUUAAAAUCUUCAUACGAUAAAUCUUUUAAUUGACAAUAGAUUAAGUUGAUAAUUAAAUAGUAGCCAAUUAUCUAAUUAACAAACAUAAUCAUGACAAUAAUUCAGAGAAUAAACAAAUACCCAAAAAGUAAUAAAAUAAUUAAAGUAUAAGAAAGAUCUCACAGCAGUGAUGAAUCAAAGUUUCAUUAACCUUCAACCAGAAUAAUAGAUUUAGUUUUUCAUAGACAGGAGAGAAAAAUUUAGAUCUAGGGUUUCUUUCUCUUCAAAAAUCUCCGUCUUUGACAAUAGAUUCCUCCCUUAAAUUCUCUUCUCUCUCUUCUCCUCUAGAGUUCUUUUUAAAAUAAAAUACUAAUUUCUAAAAUAUUAUCUAAAUAUUAAAUGCGUAAUUACAAAAAUAACUAAAAAUACAAAACACGUUAAACUAAAAACUGCAGGUCCGUAGUAGACAGCAUGCGCCCACACCUUAUCAACAAAGUUCUUCUGAAGCUCAUAAUUUCUUCAAGAAAACAAUCAUCCUCAAACAUCAUCUUGUAGCUCAAUUUUAGCACCAAUCAAUAAAAUUGCACCUACCAAAAUAAAACACAAGUAAAUCACUAUUAUUAAGUGCAAAACAUCGAUAUUAAAAGAAGUAAAUAAUGCAAAACUAGUGCAUAAAUUGUACUCUAACACUUCAUUCCGAUCCCUUGAUCAUUACUCAUUUAUUUAUUUAUUCUUUGCUUCACUUCUAAGCUUAGCAAAGGAACUUGAACUUUGGCUUUUCAAAUAGGUCACUUUUGCUUUUAAUCUCGCCCAUGAUCUUCAUCAUGAAGAUGACAAACCAUUAUUCUUUAUUCUUCACUUUUGCUUUUAAUCUCGCCCAUGAUCUUCAUCGUGAAGAUGACAAACCAUUAUUCUUUAUUCUUCACUUGUUGAAUUUACAGAAUAUAUAGCAUUCUUAAAAUUUUAGCAAAUCGUUAUUCUUCAGCUUCAGCACCUCAUUAAAAAGUCAUUCUUUGAACUUAUUCUCAAUCAAGAAAAACAUAUGCGUUCGUUCGUUGUAGUCACUGUUGUUUUGUUAUUAAUGUUUGCUCCCUAUUGCCGUUAACUCUCUUGAGCUUCACAGGAUCAGGAAACCCUUUUCUCUUGGCAUCUGUUUUGUUGUAAUCUCUCAGUCCUUGUUGAUUAGUUUCUCUCCGCUCCCAAUUUAGUUGUGUCCUGCUGUUGUCUCUGUUUUGUUCCAUAUCUACUCUCUGCACUUCUGCUGUGUCAAGACAUCUUCUUUUGUUCAUUCGGUUGUGGUCUAUAAUAUAUUUUUCAUCUUUCUUUUGGUCUAUACUUAAGUUAUUUUGAUUGGUUCCUUUCUCCUUUAUUAUCUAAAUCCCUCCUUAUAUUUAUUCAAUCAGUUGUUACGCUUUCUUUCAUUUCUCCGCUUCCACAACCAGAUAAACUGUCCAUCUUUGUUGUUUCUUCUUUUUUCUCUUCUGUGGUUGGCUCUUGUUUAUUUGCUUUUCAGAACUCAAAAAAAAAAAAAAAAUAGAAGGAUCAAAGAUGGUGGAAACCAUUAUUACUGUUGUUUUGGAAGUUGUGAAAUGCUUGGCUCCUCUAGCAGAACGCCAACUUGGUUAUUUACGUAACUAUAAAACCAACUUUGAGAAUCUCAGGGCAAAAUUUGAUGAACUCAAGGAUGAAAGUAGGAGCAUUCAGCACAGAGUUUCUGAGGCUGAAAGAAAAGGAGAAAAGAUUGAAGAGAAGGUUGAAAAGUGGCUGGUUAGUGCAAACGACAUCAUUGACAGCGCAGCCAAAUUCAUUGAAAAUGAGGAGUCAACGAAUAAGCGUUGUCUCAAGGGCUUGUGUCCUAAUUUGAAGACCCGCUAUCAGCUUAGCAAGAAAGCAGAGACAGAAAUGAAGGCCCUUGUUGAACUUGGAGAAGAAGUAAAGAAGUUUGAUAUUGUUUCCCACCGUACCAUUCCGGAGGAGAUUUGGCUCAAGUCUCACAUAGGCUACGAGGCCUUCGAAUCAAGACGUUCUACUUUGGAGGCUAUAAAAAAAGCAUUGAUCGAUGUUAGCAUCAUUGGGGUGUACGGCAUGGGCGGCAUUGGAAAGACGACACUGGUGAAGGAGGUCUCCAGGCAAGCUAUGGAAGCCAAGCUCUUUGAUAUGGUGGUCUUUUCAGAGGUUUCGCAAACUCCAGACAUAAAAAAGAUUCAACAGGAAAUUGCCGAGAAGUUGGGCCUGGAGUUGCGCGAGGAAGUUGAAUCUGGAAGAGCAAGUAGACUAUUUGAGCGAUUGAGAAAUGAGAAGAAGAUCCUUGUGGUUUUAGAUAACAUCUGGAAACACCUUAAUUUGGAGACUGUUGGAAUUCCUUUUGCAGAAGAUCAUAAAGGAUGCAAACUACUGCUGACAGCAAGAGAUCGUAGUGUCCUCUUACAAAUGGGAUCCAAAGACAACUUUUUGAUAAACAACUUAAAAGAAGAAGAAGCCGGGAGAUUGUUUAAGAUGAUGGCCGGUGAUGAUGUUGAAAAUCGUGAGUUGAAAUCUACAGCAAUAGACGUCGCCAGGGCAUGUGGAGGUUUGCCCAUUGCCUUGAGUACGGUAGCAAAGGCAUUGAGAGGCAAGAGUCUGCAUGAAUGGAAGAAUUCCUUGCGAGAACUCCGAACGCCUUCAAUGGUAAACUUCGAAGGAGUAUCUGCAGAGACUUAUGCAAGUAUUGAGCUGAGUUUCAACCAAUUAAAAGGUGAACGCAAGGAAAUUUUUCAGCUCUGCAGUCUAAUGGGUAACCGUAUUUUUACUUUCGACUUGUUUAAGUACUCCAUGGGUUUGGGUAUAUUUAAAGGAGUCAAUAAGAUGGAAGAUGCACGAGACAAAUUAUAUGCAUUGGUCCAUGAACUUAGAGACUCUUGUUUGUUGCUUGAGGGUGAGAGCAAUGAACAAUUGUCAAUGCAUGAUGUUGUUCGCGAUGUCGCGAUAUCAAUUGCAUGCCGCCAGCAACAUGUGUUUUCGGUGAGGAAUGAGGAUGUGUGGGACUGGCCAGAUAAGGAUGCACUUCGAAAUUGCAAAGCUAUCUCUUUAAUAAAAAAUAGUAAUCGUGAAUUUCCUGAAGGAUUAGAAUGCCCAAACCUUGAAUUUUUAUAUAUCUCUCUCAAAGAUUUUUCUCUUGAAAUCAAUAUUCCUGAGAACUUUUUUGUAGGGAUGAAAAAGCUUAGAGUUCUAGAUUUUACUCGAAUGCAGUUUUCUUCUUUUCCAUCUUCAAUUGAUCUUCUAGUAAAUCUUCACACACUAUGUCUGGAUAAAAGUGCGUUGGGCGACAUAGCAAUCAUUGGGAAGUUGAAGAAUCUAGAAGUCCUUAGCUUUUUGAAGUCUGAUAUAACGCAGUUGCCAGAAGAACUAGGUCAAUUGAAUAAGUUGAGAUUGUUAGAUUUAACCAAUUGUUUCCGUCUGAAAGUUAUUGCCCCAAAUGUCAUAUCAAGCUUAAUCCGAUUAGAAGAGCUGUAUAUGGGUAAUUGCUCCAUUGAAUGGGAGGUUGAAAGAGCCAACAGCAAAAGAAGUAAUGCUAGCCUUGAUGAAUUGAUGCAUUUACCUCGGCUAACCACUCUAGAAAUUGAUGUUAAAAAUGACAGUAUGUUACCAGAAGGUUUUUUGGCCAGAAAGCUCGAAAGGUUCAAAAUAUCUAUUGGAAAUGGGUUAUUCACACAUCCCAUGAUUGCUGAACAAAAUUGGUUCCAAAGUCUGCGGCGCUUUUCUCGCAAAAGUGAUCGCAAGAGUUUAAGAGCAUUGAAGCUCAAGCUUGCUUUUAUGGACAUUUGCUCCAUGAAAUUGCAGGGCAUCAAUAACGUAGAAUGCUUAUGGUUGGACAAGCUGCAAGGCAUCGAGAAUGUUCUUUUCAAUUUGGACACAGAGGGCUUUUCACAAUUGAAGCUUCUCUGGGUUCAAAAUAAUCCUGACAUCUUUUGUAUCGUCGAUUCAAGGGCGAUGGUCGCUUGUGAUGCCUUUCCUCUUUUGGAGUCACUUGGCCUUCACAAUUUGAUCAACAUGGAGAGGAUAUGUAUUGAUCGGCUCAAAGUAGAGUCCUUCAACGAACUCAAAAUCAUACAAGCAUAUAAUUGUGAUAAAUUGAGUAAUAUCUUUUGGCUCUCUACAACAAAAUGCCUUCCAAGACUUGAGAGAAUUGCAGUUAUUAAUUGCAGCAAGAUGAAAGAGAUUUUUGCAAUUGGGGAAGAAGUUGAUAAUGCAAUUGAGAAGAUAGAGUUUGCUCAAUUAAGAUCUUUGAGUCUGGGGAAUCUUCCAGAGUUUACAAGUUUUUGCCGUGAGGUGAAGACUCCUUCAGCAUCACCAAACAGACCAGCGUCGCAGGAGGAAUCGACGACUACGUAUAGCUCCAGCGAAAUCACUUUGGAUACUUCAACUCUGCUUUUCAACGAGAAGGUGCGUAGGCUAACAUUUUCUUUAUUCUAUCAUGCGUUCUGUUUUGAUGUCAUACGUGGAAAAUAAUUAAAUCAUUUAAAGAAUUGAAAGAAAAUGGAAAAAAGGAUAAAAAGAAUCUCACGCGCUCACUAAUUGAGCUCUUAACAAGUAGUAUGAAUUAGAAUGCAUACUCAGCUGUCAGUUGGAAAUUGAUUCAGACUUGCAUUAAUUUGUAAUCAAAGAAGAAAAUUUCAACAAGUGCUUCCCAUAUGGAUAUUGGAUCUAACGAGAAAUUCUUCUUUUUUUAGGUUGCGUUGCCUAACUUGGAGGCUUUGGAGAUAUCUGCAAUUAAUGUCGACAAGAUUUGGCACUACAAUCAAAUUCCAGCGGCCGUGCUUCCUCACUUUCAAAGUUUAACACGAUUGAUUGUGUGGGGUUGUCACAAAUUAAAAUACAUAUUUUCAGCGUCUAUGAUCGGAAGCCUUAAGCAGCUCCGACACCUAGAUAUACGCUUCUGUGAGGAUUUAGAGGAGAUCAUUUCUGAAAACAGAGCAGAUGAAGUUAUCCCUUAUUUUGUCUUUCCACAGCUCACCACUCUAAGACUCGAAUGUCUACCAAAACUUAGAUGUUUGUACCCUGGAAUGCAUACUUCGGAAUGGCCCGCACUAGAAAUUCUUUUAGUGGGUCGUUGUGACAAAUUAAAGAUAUUCGAUGCAGAUUUAUCGCAGAAUAAUGAGAAUGAUCAACUUGGUAUUCCUGCACAACAGCCCCUAUUGCCGUUGGAAAAGGUACGAAGCCAUUUUCUAGAUUUUUUAUCAAUAGCGUAUUUUUAACUUCGAAAAAAAUGACAAAGCAUCGAUAAAUUAACACUCAAUAAAUUGAAAACUUUUAUUAUACAAUAAUCUUUGCUAGUCUAGAUUAAGAGAUCAAUGUGGUAGAUUAAUAAUUAUAUGAACUUUUUAAGGUAUAGCAUUUAUAAAAGAAUCCUUAGUCUUUCCAUAUAGAAGAACUUACAAAAUAAAUUAGUAAUUUAUUAUUGUGCAAUAAAAUAAUUUCAAACCAGUAUAAAUCAACCUUUUUUCCCUAAUUUCUUUUUUACCUCUAAAAUUAACAUAUAAAAUAAAUUUUAUCAAUAAUUCAUUUUUUUUUUAAAAUAUAAUAUAAAACAAAUACUAUAAAGUCACUGCGUGUGACCGUAGAUCAUCAAUUGACCUCAUUAGUUAUUAUGAUUGAUGAUGAUCAGAUCGUACCCAACUUGAAGGAACUAUCACUAAGUGGAAAAGAUGUGAAGAUGAUUUUGCAGGCCGAUUUCCCACAACACCUUUUUGGCAGUCUUAGAGAACUAGAGAUUGCUGCAGAUGACUCAGCUGGUUUUACAAUCUGGAACGUACUGGAGAGAUUUCACAAUCUCGAAAUACUCACACUGUUGUUUUUUUCAUCCCACGAAGAGCUAUUUUCGAUGGAAGGAUGCUUACAGAAACAUGUGGGGAAGUUGGCAAUGAUAAAAGAAUUACAGCUGCGCUGGCACUAUCAUCUGGAGCAGCUGUGCAAGCAAGACUCCAAACUUGGCCCCAUUUUUCAGUAUCUUGAAAUUCUAAAAGUAUAUCAUUGUCAAAGUCUGUUAAUUCUAUUGCCAUCAUCAUCGGUAUCUUUUGGGAACCUAACAAAACUUGUAGCUUUCGGUUGCAAGGAAUUGAUACACUUGGUAACAUCCUCCACAGCAAAAACUCUGGUGCGACUCAUAGCAAUAGAAAUAUAUGGAUGCAGAGCAAUGACAGAGGUGGUAAUAAAUGACAAAGAUGGAGUUGAAAAAGAAGAGAUUGUUUUUAGCAAAUUGAAGACGUUGGGACUGUUUGAUUUAGAUAGCCUCACAAGUUUCUGUUCUGCCAAUUACACCUUCAAAUUCCCAUCUUUGGAAUAUCUGGAUGUGAUUGGUUGUCCCAAGAUGAAGAUUUUCACUACAGGAGAAUCAAUCACGCCUCUAAGAGUAAACGUCUGCUAUGGAGAGACAGCGGAUCAACGGCGCUGGGCUAAUAAUGAUCUAAACACAAACAUACAACAAUUACAUGCUGAGAAGGUACGUAUAUACAUAUUACUCUCUAUCUCCCAUGAUAAAUUUUUACAAAAUUUGCUUUCUUAAAUACAAUAUAGAUAAGAUAUUUGUUAUAAAGUAAGUUUAAAUUGAUGAAUAAGAAUUUUACUUUCAGCUGUUGGCGGUGUCGUCGUCAUACUCUACGCAGUACGACUAAUUUCAUAGGCUUCUUAUGACUUGGAGUUGCGAAUUUUUAGAAGAAAGUCUCAACUGGUAAUUAAUUUUUAUUUCAUUUAUUUAAUCCCAUGUCUUGUUUCACAAUUUCAUCUGAAUUAUUUAGAAUGGGUCCCUCGGUUUACUGUUAAAUUUGCAAUGCAAUUUUAAUGAUCCUUUCAGACAUUUAUGGACAGAUUUUGCAAAAUUGAAUGUCUUUUAGUCUAGUUUAAUUUGAGUUUUUCAUUUUUUUUUUAGAGCUCCCCUUGUUUUCUAAAAUUUUAUAAUUCCUUGCAUACUUUUUAUGAUAAAGUUUCAUUAAAAGCCUUCAUAUUUUAUAAUUCCUUGAAAACGUGCAUACUUUUUCCUUUUUUUCUUUGCCAAUUAUUUAUUGUCAUCAUUGCUGUUCUUUUAUUUUAGUUUGUGCUCUAUUUGUUCAUUGGGUUUGCUUUUCGGAAAGUUAGAAGGCAAGGAAAGUACUUAGAAAAUAUUCUUCCCUAUGAACACAUAAUUAACAGCUGAAUAUCAUUCAUUGGAUUAAAAAAAAUUUAAAAUAAAAAGAAAGUAAUCAGCCCAUUAUUCCUAGAACAAAUCCUUAAACCAUCAAACGUUAGCUAUGAACAAGUAUAUUGGUCUAUAGCAUAUUCAUAAUAUUUUCUCUGCUGUUCCUGUUAAAAUUUCUCUACUCUAUGAUUGCAAAAUGUCUGGAUACUGAUGAAGAUUUAAGUCACUCUUCUUCUGUGAAUAAGGUCGUUUUUCUUUUUUCCUCUAUUCAAAGUUUCCAUUCUGAUGGGUUCCCAUUUCCAUCUUCGUGAUCUUCUUGUGAUAGUGUGAGUUACAACCUGUCUGUUUCCUUUGUUUGAUCAUCACAAGUUCAAAGACAUUUUAUUCUAGCUAAGCUCUGUGUAUGUAUUAUAACAUUUUUAUUCUCAAUAUAUAUGACUCAAUGAGAGGUCUUUUAUUAUAUAUAUGUCGUGAAUUUCUAUUGUAUUUUGACAUUUGAUGGUGUAUCAUUGUCUCAUUGCAAGGUCUUUUAAUCACUCUGAUUCUCAUUUGAGGAGGUUGGUCUCGUCUAUGUGUAUGUAUUUAUAUCCACAAGAAAUUUGAUAAAUGGUCUUGUCAUUUUCUCAUCAAAACAUCUGGUGCUUCAUAUGUUGGAGGGUUACCAGGCAUCAGGGCCAGAUUUUUAAACUCAAAGUUCUUCGUGUCAUUUUUUAACAAUAAUAAGGAAAGCCCAAGAGAAAAUCUAGAAGUCCUAAUAAGGACCGCUUCUACAUAUAUUGUUCAUUUUCUUAAUUACCUUCAUUAUUAUUUUCGUUUUCAAUCGAUCAAACUUCAGUUUCUUCAUCUUGAAAUCCUUAAUUUACUCAUCAAAAUGUGAACGCUUAGUGUAUCAUUUUUACACUAUAAGAAAUAGUCGUAUUACCGACCAGACAUUUCCACAAUAUACUAUUCAAAAUAAGUACUUUUUACGAAGGUAUUGUCAUUGACGAGCCGUUGGAUAAAUAUGAAAAGUAUCAUUCCUUGGUGAUAAAGAAAAUUCGUUUGUCGGAAAUGGAAUGUCGAGCCCAAAAUUACUCUAAACUUGGUAAAGUUAGAUUUUGGCCCAAUUUGUUUGAAAGUUUUAUACAUAAAGCACUUUUUUUUUUUUAUGUAAUUUGUGCAAUCUGAAGGGAGGUAUUGUAAAAUUAACAUAAAUAAAUGUAAUAUGCCAAUACCGUUUAAAACAAAAAAGAAAUCAUGAAAUUGAAAAUAUAUAUAUAAUAAUAAUAAUAACAACAUUAAAAGAAAAAAGGGGAUUACGGAGAAGAAGAAUCUCUUCUGGAUCACAACUCUCAAUUUCACUCAGUGGUAAUUAAUUCUUCACUCUCACUCGCCUUAUUUCCUGCGGAUUUCUUCAUUUUCCUUCACUGUUCAUUUUUAAGGUUCCAUUGUAUUUCCAUUGAGUUUGCAACUGUUCAAUUGAUCGAUCCUUAUUAGUUUUGGGACUUCAAUGACCAUAGAAGAAGAUUCUCACAGACAACUCUUCCUUCUUUUGUCUUUGUUUUUUUUUUUAUUUGUUUAUGCAUGUUUCCUUUGCUGAUUUAUUUACUUAUUUCUUUCUCUGAUGUCCCAAUUUAUCCUAUGAUAUUUCAAUUGAUGUAUUACGUUCAUGUUAUGUUUAUGGAUGCUUGCUCUACUGUCCUAAUUUACAAUUAAAUUUUACUCCGUCCUUAGCUAUCGAUUCACAGUGGUGUGUCAUUAAUAUGUACUUGUCUUAUUUUAUAUUUCAUUAACUAUUAUUUCAACAAUUGCUGCAGGUGUCAAAUAAUGAAUUUGUAUGAGCUUCAGUCCAAGGUAAUUAUCUUUUUCAUUUCAUGUUAUUUGAUCUCUAGGUUUAUUUUAUCGUUUCAUCUAAAUUAUUUGGAAUGCAUCAGCUGGUUUAUUCUUAAUUUUGGAACGAAUUUGAUGCAGCAGAUGGUUGCGAAGGAUGAGUGGAGUAUCUCUCUAGGGUAACAACUUGAGCUAUAAGUAUCUAUUUAGGGUGCAUAAUAUACAUUUCGAAGUUCGCGACGAGGGGAAUCUAAUCUAAUACUGUAGCGCCGCAUUAGUCUCGUGGUUCGAUUGAAAAUUAUAUUUAUUUCAUAUUAUUUUACAAGUUUAAGAUCUAUUUUCCUAUUGUUUUCGGGAUUUUUAUCUUUUUUUUUUUUCUAGAUAUAGAAUUUGAGUAACAUUUAUCUUAUUUCAGUUAGGAGAAUGUUAUUAUGUAGUAAUAUGUAGGUUUACUUAUUUUGGUAAAUUUGUGAUAUUUAAGUUUAGUUUAAAAGAAGUCCAAAACCUUAAUUUUGUUAUUCAGACUUUCAUUAAUAAAAUAUAAAACUUUCUAAAAAAGAAAAUGCUCGUCUGGUACCUAUAUUUUAACUUCAAUGCUCGUUUAGUUUUUAUAUUUUAAAAAAUACCUCAAUAUACCUUGAUAUUAAAUACGUUACAUUUUUCCUUAAAUUUUAUUUACUUUUACAAUAAUAUCUUGGCAAUAAUAUUCUUAAAUUAAUUAAUUUAUUUAUAAAAAAGUUAAUUGGAAAAUUAAUCAAGAAAUAUCAAUAUGAAAUAACCAGUAUUUUUUGUACUUUUACAACAAUCUUGCCAAUAAUUCUUUAUAAAUAAAUUAAUAGCAGCCAUCUUAAAGUAAUGUUUAAUAUUCUUAAAGCAAUCUUACUAAUAAAUGCAUAAAAAAUUUAAUUUACGAAAUUAGUCCUAAAACUAAAAUAAUAACAUAAAAGUUUUUAUUAAUAUUUAUUUUGUUUAAGGCUGGCUAGAUGAAUUACCAUUUUUUUCUUUUCAUUGAUAUUCCCAAAAAUAUUAUUCCAACACAGUAGGGGUGUCUUGAGGUUAGGGAUGGCAAUGGGGAGGGGAGGGGAGGGGACUAAUCUCCCCGUACCCAUCCCCGAUAUUUUGCGUAUGUCCUCGUCCCCUCCCCGUCCCCGUCCCCGUCAGAAUUACUUGAGAGAAUCUUCAUCCCCUCCCCGAAUAAUAACAGAGGAUCCCCGAUCCCCGAAUAACUAAUACAUUUUUUUUUUUCAAUUUUGAGUUAAUUAUAUUAAAAUAAAAAAAUUCAAAUAAAAGUAAAUUUCGAAAUAUAUCUUACAUGAAUAUCUAUUUCAAAAGUCACAUACAUUAAAUUAGUAAGUAACGCAGCAUGCAAGGGAUACAAACUAUCAUGAACAAAUUAAUAGUCUAAUACAAAAUUGUUACAAAUAAAAUCGAAUUUAGAUUCAAAAUUAACUUUUUCAAUGGUGGCGUGGGCACUUUAUAAAUGUGGACUAUUCCCUUUACAGCACAAUAGUUAAGUCCGAGCAAAUCAAGAGCAAAUAUUAGAUUAGAUUAGAUAUUAAAAUUGUGAUUCGCUGUGGGCAAUUAUAACAUCUAAAAAUAAAUAAAUAAAUAGAUUUAAGUUUAAAAUAUUUAAUGAAUAUUAAAAUUAAAACAAAAUUUUUGGGCUAAUAGAAUCUACUGGUCUUUUUAAUGUCCUAAAUAAAAAUUUAAGACUUUAAUUUGUUAAUUAGGCCUAAAAGUUUAAUAAUAUAAAUAUUUUGAUAUUUGUUAUUUUUACCAAUAUUUAUAAUUUUAUAAUUUAUUUACUAGUAAUUUUAAAAAAUAAAAAUAAAAUUAAAAAUUAAAAUGGGGAAAUGGGUAGGGUAUGGGGAUUCCACCUCAUCGCCGUCCCCUCCCUAAAUAAGAAAUUGGGUAAAAAAAUUUGCCCGUCCCUUCCCCGAAUAAGAAAUUGGGUAUGAAAUUAUCCUCAUACCCUCCCCGAAUAGGGAAAAUCCCCGAUGGUACCCGUCCCCGUGGGGAUUUUUGCCAUCCCUACUUGAGGUUGAGGCACUUUUUAAAAUAUAAGAACUAAAUGCGCUCUCAAGUCAAAAUAUAGAGACUAAAUGAACAUUUAUUCCUUUUAAAAAGCUUGUGUUUCUCUAUCUUUUCAAUCUCAAUGUUUUUGUUUCCGUUUCAUCAUAAGUUCUAAUGUUUGGUUCUCAUCUUAAUGUGCAAAUUUUACAUCAUUGAAGGUCUUUUGAUCUGAGUUAAGAUCAUAAAAUUAUACUUGCAUUGGUCAGGUUAUACGAAAAUUGUACAAAAUAAUAUUCUUAUAUAACUGUUGUCCUCUGUUAUUACGGAAUCCCCAAGUUCUGAAGAAGGUCGAAAUCAGGUCUCUCUACUGUGAAGCCCCUGGAAUAAGAGCUACAAAUGUGUUACCGUUGAAAGCAUGGCAGAAAACUUAGUACUUAAUUCAGACUCUUUGUGGCUUCAAUAUUUUACUUAACAUGAAAAAUUCUUUCUAGCUUGCAUCAUUGUAAAGAUAAAUUGUCGCAGUUCUGACAAUGAACAAGUAUAAAUGUCCACAGAGAAAAGUACUGAACAAUUAAUGUUAACAGCAAUCGAUUGGUGUGAGCGCCAACCACCAUUUUCAUAUUUAAGCCUUUAGAACAGCAAAACAAAAUACGGCAAGUGGCAACCACAUCAAAUAAUCAAAUUGUUGAUAGAUUUUGAAAGCUUUAAUUUGCUUGAUAUAUAUUUAAAUAUUUCAACAGAUGAUCUUUUCGCUACUCACGGGGCACGCUGAGUUAGAAACGGUUUGGAUGUCAAUAUUACUCCAAGUGCCUCAACCAAAUUCAGAAUGAAAAAAAACCAUCUGGUUACCUGCACUUUUGUUUAAGCAGCUAAUGAAGCUAAUUAGCACGAAAUAGUACACAAACUCGCGAGAAAUUUCAUUAGUAGAUCAUCAUCCUGGGAGGAAACCAGCAUCUUGACGCUUUUGUGAUCAAGAAAAUCUGCCAGAACCCCAAUUAAUGAAAAAGAAAUUAUAACAUCAUUUACGUAUAGUUUUACAAAAUCAACAGGACACUCACAGAGCACCUCCUACAGCUGGACCGGCAGUUUUGGUAAGCGACACUACAGUCAUAGCAAGUCCAUUAGCAGCUCCUCUUUGAUGCUGUUCCUUUUGUUGUGGCAUAAACCAACAAAUUAAAUUUAAACUUUGACACAUACAAAAUUUGAAAAAGCUGAAAGCAUGUAAAUGUACUAAACAAACAAAAGAAAAAAAAUAUUUACCACUGCUCUGUUUUGCAGAAGGAAUAAUCUAGUUAUUAUAGACACCUGAUAUUAUAAUUCAGGAAUAGUAAAAUAGAAUUACAACAUUUCUAAUAAAAAAAGACACAAAAUAAUUUUAUACAUACUUGAUGGAUAAUAUAACCUAAGUAUAUGGAUCAAUGAUUAGGAUAUCCACUUACAGCUAAAACAUUCUUCAUCACAGAAGCACAGUUUAUCAAAAAGGCAAGGCUGAACCCAGAUAGCAUUGCUAUGUAAGUGUAACUUGUCAAAAGCGGUAUCGAUAAAACCUGUACAUACAUAGAAAAUUAUGGGACCAAAACCAUGAAGAAAAGUAUUUUAUAAACAAAUAUGUUUGAAACAAACUAUCAAAUGGUCUAAAUGCCACAUGGUGUGUUCAAAAUUAUUGUUCUGUUUUAGUGACAAAACACUCAUCCCAUGACAUUGAGCUAUCAAUUCUCAUGGAUUCGUCACGCUUGAAAGGUUUGGUAGUUGUUCUGUUUUAUCUUCAGUUUCAUUUGUGAUCACAGAAACGUUAGGACUUGCGUGCAUGAAAGCACAUUAAAAUUUGAAAGUUCUGAAGAAGAUUCAGGUCACUCGCGUGCAGCCUCUGGAAUAAGAGCUGUGUUACUGUUUAAAAGUUUUCAUGCUGUGGGGCUUCCAUCUUCAUUAUUCUACGAAUGCUUAACUUCACUAUUCUACGAAUGCUUCACUUCACUACAUUGACAGCGUUGAAAGUGUAACUAAAACCCUUGCUUUCACAAGCAAGCAUCGGUGAAUGAAAAAGAAAGUCUCUCUCGAAGGUAAUUGACAGAGGAGCAAUCUUCUUACUCUUUAACUAAAUAUCAGAAAUACAAGGUUAAGGCAGCUAGGGUUGCGAAGGAGAAGGAUCGUUCCCGGAUUUUGCCUGCUUCAAGUUGUUGGGCUUGGUGAACCAAGUUGUGUACACGAAUUGCUUAUGAGGGCCCACAUGGUUGCAGACAAGCCUGAGCUUUUGUCUCUCCCUCAUGUCUCACAUUUUAUGAUGAAUCAAAUUGAACUCCCAACACGGUAGUUCAUAAAAUAUGCUUUUCUUCUUCCAAGUAAUCUUAUCAUUUCUCUCAUUUUAUUCAUUCUCCACUUUUCAAGUCUUCAAUCUUAAACUCAGUAAGGAUAUUAUUCAACUGCUUUUUCACUUCAGCUCCAGACAUCCGAGAAGGUGCUUGUCCCCACUCUCUAGAUUUAUCAAAAGGCACUAUAUUUUCGAAACCUAUGAUUCGUCAGUAAAAAUCGACGUUACCGACGUGACAAAAUUUUCUACUAUGUAUCAACCAAUUAGAUCUAGUGUUUUGUUGGCAAACAAGAAAUGCUUAUUUACCUUUAAUACUCCACUCAGACAAGUUGGCAUGUGCUAGAAAGUCACUGAUAGUCCAUAACAAUGCUGUGUGUGAAUUGAAUAUUUGAUUACGUGAUGUAUCAUGUAUCAUUCCAACCAUAUCAUCAUCAGCACCCGAGUCAUGACUAACCUGUUUCUUGGUUAGAUUCCAAAGAUGAAGAUGGCUCACCAUGCAAUAUCCAGUUUUAAUACUUUAACCAAAAACCAUUUAUAAUGAUAUGGUCUCUUGCUACUUCCCUUAAAACGAAAUAUUCGACACUUCUUACAAGGAUAAUAAAUUCUUGCAUCACCAACAACAUUCUCAAAUGCAAAAUCUAUAACUUAGAUAUCUAUUUGCCAAACCAACCCAACUCUUCUCCAUUACCAUCUCCUUUUAAUGCACUACAAAAAUUAGUUAGAUAAAUCAUUUUAGUUUUUCAUUUCUACUACUGACCAAGAUAUUUUCGUGUGUGCACAGUUUUGCAAUAUAAUUAAAAAAUCAUUAUACAAUUUUAUGGUUAAUUUCAUUAGAAUUUAUAUAUAUGAAAGCAAGUAAAGCGACAAGAAUCAGAGAAAAAGACGUGAAAAUUAAAGUAUAUAUACAACAAUAAUUAAUGUAAAAAACAGUUUCCAAUACCUUCUGUAAAGAAAUAUCCUCACCCACAGCUGAGAACUUCAGUUGGUUAUCAAUUACAGAUACAAAGCAUGUUACCUAGAAACAAAAAAAAAGGUCAGCCAGCUGAAACAUAUUUAUAAACCAACAUUGGAGAUAGUACUCCAUUUAUAAACAAAAUUACAAGCUCAAAACCAAGUUAACUCAGCAAAACUAUAACCGAUUACGUCCAUCCAACUCAGCUCCUCCACUCCCAUCAAUAUGUCCAACACUCCCUUCAUAUUUACAAAAGGUAAGUGGUCCCGUAUAUCCCUCUCAAGAAUGCAUAAGUUUCUUCAAUCUCAAGUACUUUAAAGUUUUCUUCUACGUUUAUAGAAAUUUCGGCAGCAUCUCCCUUUAGUUCUCCAAGCAACGACAUAGAUAUAUGAGUGUUUAUGUGUUAUCUAGUAUGCACCCAAAGAAGAUGAGAAGCAGCUUGCGAAAAACUCAUUUUUACGUGGGAAAAAAACUUCAGCUACUAGCUACCAUAGAAAACUAUGCAUUCCCAAACAGUUCAAGCCUAGACAAUUCAAGAAUUAUUAAUAGGCAUAUGAUCCUCACUAUCAUCCAAAGAUGACACUAAUAAAACAUGUGUCUAUUAAUAAUUUCUUAAACGAUCUAAGCUUUCAAUGCAUGUAUUGAAAGUUUAAAAUUCAAUCUGAAAUUUGAAUAACACAUAAAUAUCAUAAAUCUCUUCAAUUUGUUCCUAAUACAAUGUAGCAUUAUUACGCGCAUCAUUUCUUAAGCAAAUCCAUAAAAAAUACAAACAAUAAAUACAUUUUCUAGCACUGAUGCAGAUUAUGUUUACUAAGCAAUAAGUUUUAAGUCAUUCAUGUUAAAAUACUUUUUCCUAUUCUUUCAACAUAUAACUAGUACGUGCACACAAUUAAUAAAUUAAAUAUAACCUGGUUGUGAAUCUCGCAAAAAUCUUCCUAUUUUUUUUUUUUUGGUUGGGGGGGGGGGGGGGGGGUGUGAGCUGCUUGUGAAUCUUGCAAAUCCUCGGGAAGGCAUGUUAAGUCAAGGCCAACUUACUAUUAGGGUAUGAAAGAUAUAACCUUUUUUUUCCCUUUUCAGAGUAAAAAGAACAUUGACAGUGUUAAAAAAAUCUAGAGGAUUUCAGGCCCAUAUCCUAACAAAUCAAGGAUAUUAGAAAAAUUUACUGAGGAUAUAGUUUAUGCUCAAUUGUAUCUUGCAGGAAGAAAUUGAUAAGCCUCAGUUUCAAUUAGCUUCAUUAUAGCCAAUGAUUAGGUGUUUAAAAACCAAUGAAUAUUUUUAUAAGAAAUCAACCGUAUUGUCGGAAGAAAAACCAAAUAAAAAUAACAAAGCCAAUGAACAGACUAAUGCUCUUUAUGGUCUAAUAACUAAAAACCAAUGAGUAUUUUUAUAAGAAAUCAACAGUAUUGUUGGAAGAAAAACCAAAUAAAAAUAACAAAGCCAAUGAACAGAUUAACGCUCUUUAUGGUCUAAUAACUAAUCAAACUAAGUUGUGGGUAAAGGCGAAUAUGUUUGUUUGGUCAAUAAUAAGCUCAACGAAUCACUAAUAAGCACCUAAUCACUAUUCCUUAUGCUAUGCAAUGUAAUGGCCUGGGUAAUGGCAGCAAGGCAGGCAAGAACUAGCUAGCCAGUUAUGAUAGUUGAUUAAGAAACUUGAUUAUAUGUAUAUUUUUGUUUGCCACAUUUAAAGAGAAUUUUCCAAAGAUGCUAAGAUACACCAAAUCCCACUAUUUCCAUACUCAUAAAAACAAAAAGCCAUGGCAAAAAUGAAUGACUAUAUAAAAUAAAAUAGGUCAUAGGACAUUGAGAUUAAGGCAACAUGAUUUGUAUACCAUAAAAUAACUAUAUCUGCAUAGUCAAUUAUAUUUCUGUUAGAACUCUAAAGUUUUCAUUUAAAUUUUUUUCCCUGUUAUGUAAACCAUUUAACUGAAAUGCUUAAGCCAAUAUUAACAAUCAUAGACAUACAAGUAUUAAUAGGCUCGUUCAAGUGAAAUGAGCAUUAUUUCUCAUAUCCUUUAGGUUUUUAAGUCAUUUAGAAGUCAUUCAUGUUAAAAAAUUUCUUCAUAUACUUUCAUUAUAAUUAGUACAUAGACAAUUAUUUAAAUAAAUAAAUCUGUUUCUGCUAGUACAGGAAAUUAAUUAAUCAAAGCUAGUAGUUAUAGCUAGGACUUGAAUGAGGCACCUUUCAGAGUUCAAGAGGAGCAUCUGAACAGAACCUUUAUAGAAAUGGCAAUGACGCUUUACAUCUACAUGCUCUUACACAAUAUGGACUUUCAUUUAUUCAAGAACAUAACACUACUCCAAGCUCUUAUUCUACAAGUUAAUUCAGUUUAUAUUAUAAUUUCUGAAAAUAGAACGUAACAUUAUUAAUAUAGAAUCAGCAAUAUAUAUAACUUAUCAGACAAUAUAACAUGCACUUGGUGAGCAUACAAGAUAAACAAGUUAUCUAGAAAAUGAAACUAAAACCCAAGCUCCGCUAUUCAUUGUAGAAGCUUUAAACAUAAAAUUAAAGUAAAUCUAAUAGCAAAACAUUAGAAUGGAUGUUGGAAUUAAAGCUAAAUUCAAUAGUAAUUCAAAUGAAUCCAUUUGAACUUUGUAGAACAAAAUUAAUUUGAGUGAGCAAACACACCAAUGGAACAAGAACACAGGGCUUCAACUUGUAGGAAUAAAAACAAUUGCUGGCGAGACAAAAAUUGACAAUAACGACUACAAUACGAAUUAAAAAGAAUCAAAAUCUAUAAUUACAAGCUAAGUAAGAGAAGAAACUCAUAAUCACAAGCUUAACUCAAAAGAUGAAGGGAGAAUACGAUGAAGAAGAAGAUGCCCGGUGUUUUACGCCGUUCGCCGGCAACCAGUUAGGUUUACGAUGGAGUCCAGCGAAUAGUUUUCUAACUGGAAAUAAAUUUAAAAUUCUAAAAUAGUAGUAUACCGAACGGCUCUUUACCGUCACGUGGUUAGUAACAUAUGUGACAGCAGUGUGGCUGUCACAUAAAGGGUAACAAAAGCAACUCGGGGUUACAAAGAAGUUAGUGAUAUACGUAAUGGCUGCUUUUGCAUUCGCAUUAGGGGUCACAUAUACCAUAUUUUCUUGUAGUACAUGGUAAAUUCUAUUUGAAAAUUGCUAAGUAUUUUAGAUUUGUAUGAAUUCAUUUUUGUGUGCUCGUUGGAUAAUAAUAUAUAAUAAAUCAAAUUUUUGGUGUAAUUUUCACAAUAUUGUAUUAUAAAUAUGUCUCGUUGAAAGGUUUUGAAAUCGUUUUGAUUGAUCAUAAUUGAUAUUUCCACAUUUGCAAAAGAUGCCAGAGAAAAUCUGAUUAUCUUAAGAAAUGAGUGCAUGAGAUAUGAAAUCAACCAUAUAAUAAAAUCAAAUUUUAUUGUGUCAUCCUUCUUGGUUCAAAUUUAUGGAAACAAUAAUCAAAUGCAUCCAUGAACUAGCUAGUAUAUUCCGACACAUGUACCAUCAAAUUUUUGCUAUGUCAUACUUAUAUUUUGAAAUUUUAAUAACAACAAUUGGGCCAAGCAUAUGUUGGUACUUGAAGAUUUAUAAGCUCCAUCCUUGAAAAAAUAAGGCUUGACUGUCCUCAAUCUAAUUCUUUUUGUUUUAAGUUCCUAAUUAAGCUUUCUUGCUUGUUUUCAAGAGCCAGUUUUGUAAUGAUCGACAAACAUGAUUUGCAUAUAUUGCACUUGGUAUUUAUGUGUCACUUAUUAAUUAGAUUUAAAUUUUAUAAAUUAAUUAAGCUGAUUAAUACUUUAUGUUGAUGCAGAAAUCUAGUUGAGUUGGUUGUUGACUCAAAACCACAUCCCCGCAUCAGUAAUAAAUUUGUUUGGUGAAGAAGCGGCUUAUUAAUCUUCAAGAAAAUCCUCUAACCAUGAGCAGAUAAUUCAUGAGCCGAUAAUCUAUGAGCUGUUGAUUAGUGAGCACCAUGAGCAGAUAAUCCACGAGCUGCUGAUCAGUGAGCACCGUGAGCAGAUGUUCUAUGAGCAGAUGAUCCAUGAGCAGAUAACCCGCGAGCAUGCAAGCACAAAGAACAGUCAGGGGGCGCUAGAAGUUUUUCUGGUGAAAACCCUCCGACGCUCAAGUCACAAUAUUGUAUCCAACCAAUAAAAACUAAAAGAUCCAAAAGUUACAAGUUCUAACACCACCCAAAUAAAGGCAUGUUAGGAUUGUUUUUGGGAAGCUCAAAAGUGAUUUUAAAAACUAAAAGCUAAUUUUUAAUGUUUUAUAAAUUUAAAAACUAAAAGUUCUAACACCACCCAAAUAAAGGCAUGUUAGGAUUGUUUUUGGGAAUCUCAAAAGUGAUUUUAAAUAUUAAUGGUGCGUUUACUUCUUGGAAUAGGAAUGAGGUGGAAUGGGAAUGGACUGGAAAGGAAAUGAGGAAUGGGAAUGAGAUUUCAAUGUUUACUUGGCAAAAAUAAAUGGGAAUGGGAAUGUGCUGGAAUGCAAUUGAUGUGUUUACUUGGAAAAAUAAAUGAGAAUGAGAAUCAAUUUACCAUAAUACCCAUAGUAUUAAUAAUUAAUAAAAAUAAUUAAUUUAUCAUUAUUGUUGUUAUUAUUACUAUUAUUACUAUUAAAAAUAAUAUUAACAAUAAUUAAUAAUAACUAAAAUAAUAAAGUUAAUAAAAUAUUAUUAAAUUUUAUUAACUCUAUUAUUUUAGUUAUUAUUAAUUAUUGUUAAUAUUAUUUUUAUUAAUAUUAUCAUUAUUAACAUUUAUUAUUAUUAUUAAUAUUAUUAUUAUAUUUUAUUAACUUUAUUAUUUUAGUUAUUAUUAAUUACUGUUAAUAUUAUUUUCAUUAAUAUUAUCAUUAUUAACAUUUAUUAUUAUUAUUAUUAUUAUUAAAUUUUAUUAAAUUUAUUACUUUAGUUACUAUUAAUUAUUGCUAUUUUUAUUUUUAUUAAUAUUAUCAUUAUUAAAUUUUAUUAUUAUUAUUUUAAUUAAUAUCAUUUUAAUAAUAAUAUUUAUACAUGUAUCUAGAUAAUGAAAAUUACAUUAUUAUUAUUAUUAUUAUUAUUAUUAUUAAAUUUUAUUAACUUUAUUAUUUUAGUUAUUAUUACUUAUUGUUAUUAUUAUUAUUAAUAAUAAUAAUAAUAAUAACAAAAAUAAUGAUAAUAUUGUUAAUAAUGAUAAAUUAAUUAUUUUUUAUUAAUUAUUAUUUUUAUCAUUAUUUUUAUUGUUAAUAAUAAUAAUAUUAAUAAAAAUAAUUAAUAAUAACUAAAAUAAUAAAGUUAAUAAAAUUUAAUAAUAAUAAUAUUAUUAUUAUUAUUAAUGAAAUUUUAAAUAAUAAAAUUAAUUGUGAUUUGAAUGAGGGUAAUUUGGGAAAUAUGAAAAAAUUAGAGGGAUACAAAAGUAAAUAUAUAUUUCAUUCUCAUUCCCUCAUUUUUAUUCCCAACCCCUCAUGGGCUUGGGAUUCCCAUUCUUUAUUCCCAAAUUGUGUGAGACCCACACAUUUUAUUCUCAUUCCCAAAUUAUAUUUUGCCAAGUAAACAUGGGUUUCAUUCUCAUUCUUUCAUUCACAUUCCUCAUUCCAUGAAGUAAACAUACCAUAAAAGCUAAGUUUUAGUGUUUUAUAAAUUUUUUUAGUAAUUACUUUUGGUAAAAUCAUCUCAUCAUACAGUAGAUUUUGAAAAGUAGUGAAUGAAUAGUUUUUCAAAAUUUGAUUUUGAGAAUUACUUUUAUACUUAAUCCAAUUCUAUAUAUAUCCUCAUUAUAUAAUAAAAAUCCAAAAUUAUCUUUAUGAAUUAAGAAAUAAAAUCAUUAACUUAAAAUAGAUUAUUAUUAUUAUUACCAAUUAUAUUGAGAUAACAAAAUAGAGAAUACAAUUUAAUAAUAUAAAAUAUUUAUUUUAGUUAUCAAUAAUUAUAUGUACAUAAUAAAAAUAUUUUAUAUACAUGUUUGUAAAUGUGUAAAUAAAUUUUAUUUAGCAUUAUGUUCAAUUCAGUCAUUUAUAUUUUUUCACCAGUUUAAUAAUAAAAUUUACGAAACACAUACGUCUGCUUUUAAAACUAAAAGUACUUUUAAAAAUAAAUUUUACUAAAUGUUCAGCUGAUUCUCUUCACAAUUGAUCAAUUUCUACAGCAUAACUAACUGAAAUUAUUUUAAAAAUAAAAUUACCAAACUGACCCUAAAUCAAACCAAUAAAAAUGUUUAAAAGUAAUAAAAAUAAACCAAAGUAAAUGUACAAAAAUUCAUGCAUAAAUUGAUAAUCAACAAAAACAACCAAAAGUUUAACUCCAAGUUUUCUGUUCAAUUGACAUAACCCUUAAAUUUCAAAAGGCAUAAUCAAUUUUGUGUCUAAUCCUAUAAAAUUAGAAAAUUAAUGAAUUCAAGGGCAAAGCUACAUUGCAACAUGCCUUUGGUACCCCUCUCUUUUGUCUUUUUAAAGGUCAAUUAUAAUAGUGUCCUGGUAUUUGUUAUAAAAAUGAAAAUGUUGAAAAUUUUUAAAAUUUUACGCAUUAGUCCUACACCUACACAGUAUCAUUUUUCUCAUCCAUUUUGCACCAUCAAUGACAUCAUUUUUCUCACCCAUUUUAAUUAAAAGGUAAUUAAAAUUAUUUUCCAUAUAGAAACAGAAUAAUAAAAUAAAUUUUUUAUUCUUAUUUUUUAAUUAAUUAUAAAAAGAUAUUUUGUAUUAAAACAAUCACUAGUGACUACUGUUUCUUCGCGUGCAAUGAUAUUUUUAAUCGAAAGGGGACAUGAAGGGUUCCAUUAUAUUUGAAAUUGGAUGAUUUACAUAAAGAUAGUCUCAAUGCUAGCAAAUGGUGAUAUGUAAAGUUGCAUGCUCCUUCUAAAAUAACUGCAACAAUAACUAUACCACAAAAACACAAGGAGUUACAUUACACUACCACCUUUUCUUUUCUUUUCUUUUCUUUUUUUUUUUAAAUUUAGAGACCCUCAAUUUGGUUGUUAAAGGCAAUGAACCUUAAAACGUGAUGUAGGAAGCAUAUUAGAUAAAAUGAAUUAGAAUUUACUAGAAAUUAUAAUAUUUGGGUCAAUUUAAAAUUUAAUAUUUUAUUAAAAUUUAUCUUAUUUAUUAAGCUUACUUGAGUCAUAUUUGUAAUUCUAACCUAAUUAGGAUUUCAGAUUAUUUCUCUUAUUUGAGAAAGAUUAGCUACUAUUAUAUAUAUAAACUUGUUAUUCUUAAUUUAUGAUAACAGACACAAACUUCUUAUUAAUAAUUUUUAAUUUUUUCAUAAUUGAGAUAUCUUCUCCUUGGUGAGAGCAUCUUUUUAAAGUUUUCAAGACAUAAAUCAUAUUAGAGUUUUUUUCUGUACCAGGCAGAGCAUUCUCGACCACCAACUCCAUACAUUAGUUCCAUCAAGUUAAAAAAAAAAAACCCAACAAAACCCGAAGCCACCAUCACAUCCGUGCCACACGGCUGCCGCCGCCACUGGUUUCUCUUCUUUUUGGUCGAUCCUCUCUCCCAUCCAAAAGCCCUCACGUCGCCAAUCAUAACCCAACCCAUAACACCACCAUCCCGUCACCGUAGCCACGGGAAACUAGCCAAAACAGCCGCUGAACCACCACGAAAAUCCACCUCUCUAUUCGCUGCAAUCCGUUGCGAUUCACAUCCUCCACCACCACCCAUUCGUCCACGAUCAUCAGCUCUUUCUUUUCAACCCACUCACGCUGCCAACCCUCGGCCGGAUCGCCAGAAACUGAAACCAACCUCCACCCACUACUUUAACUCAACUUUUCAAUCAAAUCACAACUAUUUGAGACAAAUCACCACCAGCAUCACACUCAACACCAUCAAAUCUUCUAGAUCCACCUAUCCUAGGCCAAAUUUUCGACCAUCGUCGCUGGCAACACCAACUUUUGCCUAUUUAUAAUUUUGCCCCUUUACUUUUCUAUACUUAUACUAUUACCUAUAAUUUUAUGUUCUUUAAAAAACACCCAAAAACCAAACAAACUUAUAAAAAAAUAAAUAAAUUAGAAUUUACUAGGAAUUAUAAUAUUUGGGUCAAUUUAAAAUUUUGUAUUUUAUUAGGAUUUAUCUUAUUUUAUUAAGCUUACUUGAGUCAUAUUUGUAAUUCUAAUCUAAUUAGGAUUUUAGAUUAUUUCUCUUAUUUGAGAAAGAUAAGGAUUAAUUUAGCUACUAUUAUAUAUAUAGGCUUUUUAUUCUUAAUUUAUGAUAACAGACACAAGCUUCUCAUUAAUAAUAUUCAGUUUUUUCUCAAUUAAAAUAUCUCCUCUUUGAUGAGAGUCUCUUUCUUGAGUUUUCAAGACGUAUAAUAGAACGAAAUCUAGUAUCGCUUCCGCCCUGCGUUAAAAUGUCAUCUAAUCAUAGGGUCUUGUUAUAGUUGUUUGCAUUGGAAGGCUCAUCUAUCGCCGACAUAUCUAUUUAUCCGGCAACAUUGCCACCAUUACAUUGAUCAGAGAAUUUUGAAUACGUUGAUAGUUUUUUGUUUUUCUGUUCACUCACGUCUAUUUCUUAGUGAUGAUACCGUCAUUGUUGUCAUUGGUGGUGCAAUAAUUUUUAGCAAUAUUAUUUUGAUUUUUCAUUUGAUUUACAAAACUUAAAUAUUAAAUAUAAUACUUAAUUUUAGUCUCAUACACUUAAAUAUUACUAAUAUUCAAGUUCAUGGAUGGAUAUUGAAUAAAUCAAAUUCAGAGUAUUUUAUAUGGAUACUAUCCAAUCUAUUCAGAUCAGAUACUUAGACAUCCAACUUGAAUGGAUUUGUUUGCUCUUUCUAGCUGUUAACUUGAUUAAUAAUUCUAUUGGGUUUGGUUUUAAAACUCCUAAUAUGAUAAUUCAUUCAUGACACAAUUAAUUAUUCACUUAAUUAUAUUAAUUGACUUCUAUUUUAAUUGAUAGAUAUGUGUUGAAUUGUCAUCUCUAUUGUUAUCCAUGUGUGAUGUUAGCAAGAAAGAAGAAAGAAUAGAAAAUACUUAUUUUUAGUUUUUUUUAAAGAAAUAUUUAAAUUAUUUUCAAAUAGAGUAAUUGUUUAGAAUUUUUUUACCCUUCUCUCCGAUAAGUUAAUGACUAUUUAAAUAGUUGGGGUGGAGUAACAAAUACCAAUUUAUUUAAGCGUGCAAUUAAAUUAUUAUUAUUUAUUUAAGGACAAAAACUCAUUGUUAAAAAAAAGAUUUUACAAGUUAAUAAACUAACAUUUUAUUAUUAUUAGUAAAUUAACAUAUUUUUACUAUAUAAUUAAAUAGUUGAUAGUAUGUUUAAUAAAUAUUAUGUUACAAAAAAAAUUAACUACAUAGAAUAUGAAAUUAAGUUUAUUUUUGUAUUUUGUAUAUUUCAUCUACUUGAGAUAAUAAAAUCUCUUGUGUUGAAAAACAAAAUUAUGGGUUUUGAACCUUGUUCACAUAGGUGAGAGAUAAUUGGUUGCCAUUAUGUUAAAUUAAAAAAAAAAGAUCAUAUUUAUACUUAUCACUAAUUAUGGUUAGUAAAUAAUAUACAUGCAUUGUUUAACUAUAUAACAAAGUAGUUAAUUAAUUAAUUAAUUAAUUAAUUAAUUAAUUUAAAUAGAUAUUAAUAUAUGUAAGAAUAAGUCAUUUAAUUGGAAACCUAUUUCAAUGGAGUUAAAAAAAAAAGAGAGAAUAUUAUGGACUUAUAUGUCAAAUUUCAAAACUUUUGAUUUUGUUUAUUUUGCAUGAACAAUAAGGGUCUUUGAUGUUAAUAACCCAAUAAUCACAUCUCAGCCAUUACGCAAUUCUUACAUUAAAUCCAACGGUAGGUUUGAAAAAGACAAAAAAUAGGGUACCAAACCCCACGGGUAUUGUAGUUGGACCCUGAAAUUCAAACUCCUUUCACUUUUCUGUUGUUUGGUUUUCACUAAUAUAUGGGAAUUUAAUUUCUAUUUAAAUUUAAUUUUCAUCAAAUUGUGCAUUUUGGAUUCCCCACCGAAGGCUGUAAAAUUCAAAUUCUCCUCCUAUUAGAAAUCGAAUCUUCCAAAAUUGCUCCUCUCAAAUAUUUAUCAAUUAUUUUAAUUCUUAUCAAAUAAUUCUUAUUUAUGAUUUUAUUUUUUCAAUUUAAAUUGUCACUAAGGAGCCUGACUUACUACCACAGAAAAGCAAAAAUACAAUUUAUAGAUUAUGAUAAUUCCAUGUAUUGUAUGAGAAUUGCAAUCUAAAAAUUUUCCCUACAAAACUUUAAAGAAAUUAUUAUUAUUACCAAUUAUAUGGACAUAACAAAAUAGAGAAUAAAAUUUAAUAAUAUAAAAUAUUUAUUUUAGUUAUCAAUAAUUAUAUGUACGUAAUAAAAAUAUUUUAUAUACGUGUUUGUAAAUGUCUAAAUAAAUUUUAUUUAGCAUUAUGUCCGAUUCAGUCAUUUACAUUCUUGCACUGAUUUAACAAUAAGAUUUAUGAAACACAUACGACUGCUUUUAAAACUAAAUGUACUUUUUAAAAUAAAAUUUACUAAAUGUUCGGUUGAUUCUUUUCACAAUUUAUCAAUUUCUACAGCAUAGCUAACUGUAAUUAAUUUUAAAGAUAUAGGAUUACCAAACUAACCCUAAAUCAAACCAAUAAAAAUGUUUAAAAGUAAUAAUAAGAAACCAAAAUAAACGUACAAAAAUUCAUGCAUAAAUUGAUAAUCAACAAAAGCAUCCAAAAGUUUUACUCCAAGUUUUCUAUUCAAUUGACAUAACACUUAAAUUUCAAAAGGCAUAAUCAAUUUUGUGUCUAAUCCUAUAAAAUUAGAAAAUUAAAUAAUAUUAUAUACUAAUAAUUAAAUAAUAUGCAAUUAAUAAUGUUUAAAAAAUAAUGUUAAACAUAUUGUCAACUAAAAUAAUUGGGAGAAUUGGAGUUCCAAGAUAAAUUCUUAUCGAGUCCCAAAUCAACAAUUGGGAUUAAUUUCAAUCUUAAACUCCGAAACUCCGACUGCUUUUAAAAUUGGUCCUAAUAAUAUGAACAAAUCCCAUUCUGAUCAGUAUGGGAUCCCAAUCCCAUACCUUUGGAUUUCGAUGGUAUUUAGUUGGAGGGAGAAGAGAGGAAGGAAAUGAAUUCAAAUUCCUUUCACUUUUCUGUUGUUUGGUUUUCACUAAUAAAUGGGAAUUCAAUUUCUAUUGAAAUUUAAUUUUCAUCAAAUUGUGCAUUUUGGAUUCGUCACCGAAGGCUGUAAAAUUCAAAUUCCCCUCCGAUUAGAAAUCGAAUCUUCCAAAAUUGCUCCUCUCAAAUAUUUAUCAAUUAUUUUAAUUCUUGUCAAAUAAUUCUUAUUUAUGAUUUUAUUUUUUCAAUUUAAAUCGUCACUAAGGAGUCUAACUUACUACCACAGAAAAUCAAAAAUACAAUUUAUAGAUUAUGAUAAUUUUACGUAUUGUAUGAGAAUUGCAAUCCAAAAAUUUUCCCUACAAAACGCUUUUUAAUCGACAGCAAAUACAUGCUUUCAAAUUUAGUCAGCUGAACUAAUUUUUGUUUUUUUGGAUUAAUUUUGAAAUGUUGCAUCCAUAACGAGCUGGUAUUGAAAUUAAUGUUAACAACAAAAAUAGAUGCAAAAGGAGAAAUAAGCAUCAUGGCCAUUAAUAUUUUGACAUUCAAUGUUGAUUUUGAUCCCACUAAAUUAAGCCAUCAAAAAUUGCUGGGAAGGGAGUAAUAUCUAUUUAUAACUGGAAAUUACUCACCGUACAAUGAUGAUUGGAGCUGCAUGUAUCAUUUAUUAUUAACAAUUAACUUAUGAAAUGCUUUGAAUGUACCUCCUAGGUCGUAUUUACUACACUAGUUAGGAGAAAUUACGAUGUUAAAUUAUUUGAUAAAUACUUAUUAUAAUUUGAAAAAUAUGUCACAUUUGUCCUCCACUUUAUGAUAAAAAAUUUAAAAUAUAUAUAAAUCAUUCAUUUUAUAAUCUUGAACUUUAUUAAAGUUCGAAAAACUAGUAUUACUCUAUAUGAUAUAAUAGUGUGAUGUUGUUACACUAUUUUACCAUAUAAAAUAUAUUUGCUUUCUUAUAUAUAAUGGUUCUGACAUCCUUAUUUUAACAAAGUGAUGAUAUCACUAACAAACUAAAUAACACAUAUUUCAAUACACCAAUAGAUUAAAAAGAUACAGUUCUUAAUGUGUUAAAAUAUAUGUUUCUUGUAUAUUAUUGAUAUUUUCACUUUAACAAAGCGAGGGUCUCCUCACUAUAGAAGUACUUUAUAAAUAUUCUUUGUAUUUUUGUGAAAAUUAUUAUUUAAAAGUCAUAUCUUACCAAAGACUAAUAGUUUUUAUUUUAUCACUAUACCGUACUUUUGAAGAUAGAACACCUCAAUACCAUGACCUUAAUUUUUGAACUCUGCUGUACAAAGUUGUUGGCUGGUCUAUUUAGUUUAGUCUUUCAAUUAUUUGUCGUUUGAACUGAGAUGAUCCGAAUAAAGCUAUAUAUCAAUAAUUUCCUAGUGAAACUUCGGGAAAAAAAAUAAAAAUCCUCUCAUAUAGUGGCAUUAUUUUAAUUCUCAGCUUGAUUAUGUUUUGAGUUAACUUAUAGAUUAUUUGAAAUAAAAAGAAUAUAAUUUAUUUUUCUAACUAAAUAUUUUUAAAUAAUUUUGUUAAUUUAAUGAGUAAUUAUACACUUACAAAGUUAUGAUAUAAAAUUUAAUCUAAUUUAGCUAAGAUGUCCAAUUUAAUACUAAGAGCAAUGUUAAGGAUCCCAAUAAUUGAGUCUCAGCUGAUAUGAUAGUCAUUUAUUAGAUAAUCGAAAUAUUAAUUUUAUUAGUUAUGAAAUUUAUUAUCUAAUAAAAAAAUAACACAUAACAAUUGGGUCUCAAGUUAGAAUUCUACUAUCGAAAUUCCUAACAUUAUUCUCAAAUUAAAAAUUCAUCAAAAUAAUAUCUAUUAUCUAAAAAUAUAAAUAUAAAUAUAAAACCAUAGAUUUACUCUUCAAUCUUCGUGAUUUGGCCGAUUUCUCUUAAAGCUUUGGUUUCUUUAUAAGUGCAACGAGAAAUAGUAAGAAGAUUAAAAAAGCAAUAAAGUAAAACUUUAAAAUUUUUAUUUCUUUAUAUUUUUAUCGGUCAUUUGACCGGUACUGGCGUUUGAUUUUCUGACCGAGCUACUGUUUAGUUCUAAGUUUUGGCAAUUAGAACUGGUGGAUGUCGACUGUUCAAUAAUGAUGGCAGCAUUGACGCAGUGGAAUAAGGAUCACAUAUCUCAAACUUUAGGUGAUGAUAUUGUUAGAUAUUUCAUUGAUUGAGGAUCACAUGUUUUAUGACCACUAUUGUUAGAUAUUUUAUUGACUUACUAUGUAAGUCAAGCAAUUAUUUUUAAAUAAUGAUAUUAUAAUUAAAAAUCAAGAAAUAUUUAUAAUACUUAAAGACUAAUUCAGAUUAUUAUUAUUUUAUAUGACUUAAUUAUUAGCUGACAAAUAAUUAAAAGGUCAUAGAACAAUAUUUUUAGGUCAAAUUUGUAUUCUAAUAUGACACAACUUGUACUUUCAUUCCUAUGCUAAAAUAUAUCUAACCUACUAAUAGUCAAGAAAUAUAUCUAUUCAUCACAUACUUGUUAGAAAGAUUAUCUACUAAUUAAUCAUUGAGACGAGAUUACGAGUCUCAACAUAAAUUAGGAUAAAAAUUAAUACAUUGAAAUUCAGAACAUUUCUUUUUCCUCCUUCUGCAGUUUAAAAAGGAGUCGCCCACGAGUACUGAAAUAAUUUUAUCAGAUUCGCUUGAAAGUAGUUUUACGAGCAAGCAGUUUUUCCCUCUUGAUCCCCGUAUUCGUCAGCUCCUACUCUUUGCCUUCAAUUCUCAGUCAAGUAGUAUCAGUUUUUGUUGUCAGCUCUCUUGAAUUUCACUGGAUCAAGUUUUCUCUUGGCAUCUGUUUUGUUGUAAUCUCCAGUCUUUGUUAAUUAGUUUCUCUCCAUUCCCAAUCUUGUUGUGGCCUGCUGUUGUCUCUGUUUGGUUCCAUAUCUACCCUUUGUACUUCUACCGUGUCAAGAUACCUUCAUUUUUUCCAUCUCUAUUACCAGUCAAUAUUUUUUCCGUCUUUCUUCUGGUCAAUUCUUCAGUUAUUCUGAUUGGUUCCCUUCGCCUCUAUUAUCUAAAUCAUUCCUUAUAUUAAUUCAAUCAGUUCUCGAACUAGAAAUUUUUUCCUUGUUUCCAUCUUCUCACCAGAUCCAUAACAGCUUUUACUCUUUCUUUCAUUUCUCCGCUUCCAAAACCGGAUAAACUGUCCAUCUUCGUUGUUUCGUUUUUUUUUUUUUUCACUCCCUCUUUGUUUCGC